CCUUGAAAUCAGCUCAGGUGCUAUGUAUCCUAUGGUUCCUCUUGUGGCACUGAUGGACACAAAAUCAUUUUCCUUGGGAUGAAACUUUGCAAGGCCGAAAUCUGAGACCUUUGGGAUGAAAUUAUGAUCUAGCAGGAUGUUGUGAGGCUUAAUGUCGAGAUGAAGAAUGCAGACAUCACAUCCGUUGUGUAAAUACUCGAUCCCACGGGCAGUUCCUAAAGCAACUUCAUGGAGUUUCUCCCAACAAAAAGAUUGGCCUCUACUCUCCUUGGGAAAGAUAUGCCUAUCGAGUGAUCCAUUAGGCAUAAACUCGUAGACAAGUGCGCGUUUGGAUCCCUCAGAACAGAACCCCAAUAACUGGACCACAUUAACGUGGUGAAUUCUACCUAUUGUUGAAACUUCGUUGAUGAAUUCCUCCGCACUGAACUUGGAGUUCUCCAGCAUCUUAACAGCAAUCAAGCGACCGGUAUGAAGCGAGAAAGACUAUUGGAGCAAGAAUAAAUCUACCAAUUAUCGGAACAUCAACUAGAAAACUUAUCCCAUUUCCCAUGGAAGGCCAAAAGAUUGCUAGGUAAAUUACUCUGUAAACUGCAAUUGGAGAGAAGGGGGAAAAAUUAAAUAAGCUUUAUACCUAAUCAGAGAGAUGAUUCAGAAAAAAAUUAUACAGUAAAAGAUUAGAGAAUAUAUGAAGCCGUCGCAUUUAUUAACGUCGAAAACACAUGAUCAAAAAGAUAUAUAAGGAUAUGCUUACGCAUAUAACAUGGGUAGCAAAUAAUUUUUGCCACUACUCCUUCAUUGUAUCUGAAGUUGCAAUCUGUUGCAAAAGUGAAAAGAAACAGAAAUUAAGGGUCACAUCGGUAUGCUCUUAGAUAUAGUUCACAAAUUCUUUAUUACGUACAAUAUUGAGAAACAAAAAACAAAUCGCUUGCAUUUGAAGGCAUAAAUAAACAUAAGCAUAGGCUUACACUCAGUAAAUGAGUUGUCCCUGCACUCAUCUAACCGUUUAAGAUCGAACCCUGACUCCAGCGAUUUUCGGAGGUCUUCAUAAGAAGGAUUGUCCACACUCCUAUUAAGUACUACAGGAACCUUUGAAAUAAAGACGCAUGAGUCUGGAAGAUCUGAUAUUCUGGCGUUGGUGACACCAUAUCCAACAUGUCCAACAUAAACAUAGACAUUCGACUGAUUGUUACUCAAACAUGGAACUUUCGUAUACGCCUGAUCAACAAUAUUACUUGAGCAAUUCACGUAAUGGGCGUAUGAUUUAAGAAUGUAACCGUUAAUAUGUCGGAAAAAGUAAGGAUAUGGGGAAAAAGAUUUGUACGGGAGGCCGCAGCUUCCAUUGGCUAGGUUAACAUCAGCAACACUGAUUGUACAUUUAUCAUGGGAAAUUCUCUUUACAUAGUACCUUGCAGAAUUGGACAAUUCUAAGAUGGUUUUGUUGUUCUCGCAAGAAAGUUCUAACUCCGGAUGACCGCAUCCAGCUGGAUCGCCCUUGAGGCGAAAAGGGUAGCUUAUGUUUCUGACAUCUCCACAAGAAGAAGAACACAUUUGUACUCCAAGUUUUCUUGCUUCAAUUUCACUGGUGCUGAAUACAAACAUCAACAGACAAAACAGAAAAGUUGAGAAAAUUGAAGCUUCUUCACUACUCAUUGCUCCUCCAAUUGCAGGAUACAAUUAACGAAUUUGAAUAAACUAAGCAGAACGGUAUAAAAGUGUUCAUUCGCUACGUUUUCUACAGUUUCACUUGCGCGGUGAGAGGCGGGCUUUAAACUUAUUAUAGUUUAGUAUACAACUAUGCGAUUGAAUUACUUAGCACUAAAUAAUUUGUUUUAAAAAUAAUAUUAAUUAUUCAUAAAAUGAAAUCGACACGAUGGAAGAAAAUUUUUAAUUACUGAGUGCUAGGCUUGUAGCAUUACUGCAAUGGGGACAAAUUUAGAUAAACAUGUUCAAUUUCGUUUCUUACUGUAAAUUUUUUAUGCGGAUGCCACGAAGCUUCUGGAGUCUCUUUCCACGAUUUGUUUAAGUGGAAGCUUUCAGAUUCCAAUGGGGAAGUCCAUACGGCAAGGAGAAGUCGCUUAAUUUCCUGGUAAUUGUAAAUGAGUUAGCAUCGGUGGGAAUGGGAUGAUCCAUCCCCAUCCUAGCUUGACCUCAAAUUUCUUGGUAAACGUUCUUCAACAUUAAAAGCGAUGGAACUUAUUGGAAACAGUUUCAAUGCAGUCCAAUUCCAGUUAAUAUCUUUCGCUUUCUUAAUUUCUCACCACCAAACACACUGGCGUACCCCACCUUUUUUUUUUUUUUUUCCUGACAGGAUUUGGAGAAACGCGGCAUUGGAAAUUUGGAGAGGGCCCGACGACCAACACUUUUAAAGCGACCAACAUGCAGAAGAAUGAGGACCUCUCAUGUCAUGUCACAAGUUUCUAAAAAUUAUGGUUGCUGUUGUAAUUAUUGUUAUUAUUAUUAUGAAUAAAGGAAGAUAUGUACAUUUAGAAUUAUGAUUAGGUACCCAGAGUUGAGUAAUAUAAUGCAUGAUAAGUUUUUAUUGGUGGAGUUGUGUUGUAGGCCCCACAACUCCACUAAUUGAAACACGUCAGGUGUGCGUGAUAGGCGUAUACGCCAUACAAUGCAUUAGUAUUUUUAUUAACUUUUUUUUAAAUAACUAAUAUACAGUAUAUUAGUAAAUUCACAUUUUAAAAGAUGUGGAAAUCCACACAUGAUAUAAUAUAUAUAUAUAUAUAUAUAUAUAUAUAUAUAUCUGCCUGAUAUAUAUAUAUAUAUAUAUAUCAAGAAUUUUAAAGUACGGAAAAGUCUGAAAAAAUUUUAAAACCGCACAGUUUUAAAUGUUUAUAGUUUUAAAGAUUUUUCAGACCUUCCCGCACUUUAAAAUCCUGAAUUGGAACAUUUAUGUAUAUAUAUAUGGAUAUGAGUCUAUCCUUGCGCAUUAGUUAUUUUUUGGGCGUUUUAAUGAUUUUGAUUUCAAAUGCCCAAUAUGAGCUGGGCUUCACAUUGAGACCACCAAAAUCCUAAAAGAAGUAUAAACCGUUAGACUGUAAUAAUGGAAACAAGUAAAUAUAUCAAAAAAUGAUAUUGGAAAAUUAAUGGUCGAAUACAUAGUUUGAUCAUAAGAUAUGACAACAAAUAAUAGAUUAUUAGAAUAACAAAAGGAUGUUAUUAAUAAUUUAUUUUUUUUAUCAUAUACGACGUUCAUUAAUCUCAAGUAGAUUAGAGUAGAAAUGAUAUAAUUUAUGACUAAAAUUUAGAUCAAUUUAUAUGUUAUUCAUCACACACAGUAUAUGAAUGAAAAAAGUUAGACCACCGAUGUAAUACUAGUUAGGCGCAAAGGGAACAAAAAAUCAAUGUGUUUUGAUAUUUCCACUUAAGUUACACACAACAAAUUCGAGCUAAGGAUACUUGAAUCUUAUGCUUGGUGCAACAUUUUGGUGUGUCUUUGUAAGCUAAUUUUUCAUGUGAUUUUUAAAACUCUCCAUUUCCGAUUCAAGAUUGGUUCUAUGAGUAGACUUCGUUGCCGUCAAGAGUCAAAAGUGUCACUACGAUAUUUUAUGAAGGCAAAUCACUUCUGCAUAGAUUUCCUCUCCAUCAAAUGUUUUCGUAUUAAUUUUGUGACAUUGUAACCAGUUCUGUUGUGUUUCAUGUGGUAUGUAUCACUGCCAUAAAUUGCUUUAAUGAAAUAAUCACUUAUUUCAAAUGUCGCAGCUGCAUUAGUAUAAUGUAUGUAUUGAUGUAAAAUUUGGUCAUGUUGUAUGCCACUUGUUUUUAAUGUCUGUCAUGUCGAAUUCAAAUCCAUAAAAUAAAUAUUGAUCAAAUGGUUAACUUGGCAGUCGAUAUAGGAAUAGUAGUCUCAUUGAAAAUGUACUAAAAAAACAAUAUAAUAACAUAUCUAUUGCAAAAGGCGAGCAAGAAAAGGAGGGAAAGUAAUGUAGACUGGAUUUAUCUCCAGCCUAAAAGGGGGAAGCACUUCAUAAAUUAAUGCGUUUAAGCCUGCAACCAUUUAUCUGGCAUACAAAGUCAUGCUACUGUAAACAAUUUAUCAAGCACUUUAAUGUCGUGCUGCUAUGGAUAUGCACGCUUCGAUGGCCAUUUCGCAGCUAUUUAUUAUUGUGGAGACAAAAGCGUAUCGAUUGGUGAUUUUUUUUCCUUAUUAAUAUUUGGUGCAUGUUUUGUUCUGAUUGAAGUAGAGGGCCCUAAUUUUCUGAAAUUUUGUUGACAGAAGAUAGAGAGCGCAUAAAUUAAAAUGCCAUUAAGCAAACGCAUUUUAAAUCUUUGUGCUCUCUGUAUUCUGUCAUCAACGUGCAGCUUCAUUUGGCCUUCAAAACUGUAGUGAUCUACUGAUCUUCUUCCAAGUGCUAUUUGUUAAUUUUCAUUUUAUUAUUAUUUUAUUUGUUCAUAUAUACACACACACACACACAGAGAUACACAGACACACACAUACAUACAUAUACAAUUAUACUCCUAAUAUAAUUAUAACUUUAUAAGUUAUGUAUACACAACUAAACCCAGUGUAUAUAUAUCCUCCAUGUAUGCGUAUCUAUAUUGUGAAAUGAGGCAAUUGGCGGCAUUCAAAAUGAAACCCCGCUUGAGGAGUUGAGAGAGAUUCAGAAUGGGGACUGCUCCUGUGAGCUGCUUUAUCACGGACGCUUUGGGCUUUUCAGAGGAGCAGAAUUAAAAGCCCACUAAUGACUUGGGCUAUUCUUGGAGGCAACCGCAGUCCAUAAAGAAGCAUAAAGCCAUGAACUGUUCCGUUGUUUUGUUCAUUUUUUUCCUUCUAGUCUGAUUCACUUCCGAAGUAGCUGUUGAGAAACUUAAAGAUGAAUAUAAUAUCAUGGACUUUAAUUCUUAAAUUUAACAAAUAUGAGAGUACAUUUUAAAAAAAUUGUAAAAACGUUGUAAGAAAGUAAAAUUUUGAAACAAGCAUGUGAUUAAAACAUAAAUGAAUCCCAACUUUAUUUUGGUUUUAAAGGAAAAAAAAAAAGCACCAUCAAAAAUAAAAUAUUCCUAAAUUUUAGUUGAGGGCAUGAUACGAGAACAUAUAUAAAUACAAGAAGAAUGUGAGAGAUAAUAUUAAGAUUUUUAUAUUUUAAAAUAAUAAAUUUCGUUCAUCUCAAUUUUCAAGUACAUAAUAGAAGUACAAUAGUAGGUCCUCAACUAAUAUGACAAAUUGAAAAAAGUCAUCUAUAAUUGUAUUAAUGUUGUGUCAGUCGAACACAUCAAAGAUUUUAAGUGAUUGAUAAAACAACUACAAUAGAAUAAAAACUCAAUAUACUGGUUUUCAAGUGUUCCAAUAACAAGGAGGACUAAAUAAUUUUUCUUAUAAUCGGGGAAAUUUUGAAACAAAUUAACAAUAUAUCUUUUAAAUUGUAAUCUUCUAUUAUCUAGAUCAAUUGAUUGCACCUGUCUCAACAUCAGAAGAGACAAAGGGCAUUGGAGGGAUCUCCAAGCUUUGAAAAUCAGCUUCAAGCAUUUGUAAUACCAUUGGCAUGGAAGGUCUCUCCGUGGGAUUCCAUUGAAUGCACCAAAGUGCCACAAUUGCAAGCUUUCUGGCAAUUCCCUCAUCCCCAUCUUCCUCAAAUUCCAAACAGAGCUCUUGUCCUUGCCUCAUUCUAUUGUAAAUCCACUCCGGAAAAUAUAUUUGGCUCUGAAUUUCAACCGCAGGAUCAUUAUUUUUUCUGCAUCCGACCAUCUCUAACAGCAUCAUUCCGUAACUGUAAACAUCAGACUUGUAAGAGAUCUCACCAAAAUUCCUGGAGAAAAGUUCAGGUGCAAUGUAGCCAGAAGUGCCUCUGGCAGCUGUCAGAGAUACAAUGCUUAUGUCCUUUGAGCACAACUUAGCCAGUCCAAAAUCUGAAAUCUUCGGUUGAAAAUUAUGGUCUAAUAAUAUAUUGUGAGGCUUGAUAUCGAAGUGCAGGAUCCUCUGGUUGCAUCCUUGGUGCAAGUACUCCACUCCACGGGCAACGCCAAAUGCAAUCUUCCUCAGCUUCUCCCAACUCAAUUGACGGUGACUUGAGCUAUUUGUCUUUGAGAAGAUGAAUUUCUCAAGUGAUCCAUUGGGCAUAAACUCGUAAAUAAGAGCGCGACGAUUCCCUUCAGAGCAAAAUCCCAGAAGCCGAACAAUGUGAAAGUGGUGAAUCCUGCCAAUUGUGGCCACUUCAUUGAUGAACUCUUGUCCAUUUCCUUUUAAAUGUUCCAACAUCUUGACAGCAACUGGAAUUCCGUUGAAGAGUUUUCCUCUGAACACACUUCCAUAACCUCCCUGGCCGAGCCUGUGCUUAAAUCUGCUUGUUAUUUUCUUCAGUUCUUUGUAAGUAUAUCUGGUGGGAUUGACGGUCCUGUAGUUUUCGAGGAACUUCUCCACCUUCAGUUGAGUCUCUUUUUCUUUUUCAGAUUCUCUUGAUCUGUAAAUGAGAAAUAUCACUAAUGCAAAGAGGGUGAUGCCUCCAAUGCUUGUGCCUGUGGAUAUUAGACUUAUUGAUAAAGGGCCAGGACCAUCUGUUAUAUAUAACUAAGAAAAGUUAGUUAAAAAAUUAACUCAAACAAUAAAAUGAGAUGCUAAAAGUCUGGACCCGUGCAAGCUUAACUUGGUAGCAUAAAGACUCUAAUAUCAUUUGAUUGGGUUUUAACAAGUCCCUCUCAUGUGACCAUCUCAUAUAUAGGUAUUUUUUCAUAACUUAAACUAUAAUUAGGUAUCUUAUUCAUAUGGGUGGAUAGAUAAUUAAUUUUUCAUUUAACUAAAUAAAGAAAAAAUAAUAAUAAGCAAAAGGAUGAAAUUAUUUGAACUGCAAAGUAAGCACUCUUUUACCUUACACACUUUAAUUUUAAAAUUUUAACUUUUACUUGAGUACACAAUGAAAACACCAAAAUUAUCACAAUUAGAAAUCUCUGUCUUUAUGUUUUUUUUUUUCCCUUUCUGCAUUCACAAAAUGAUUUUUUUCCCCUCAUCUCUUAUUCCAUGUGAAUAUUGAGGGUUACUUGAUUGAACAAAUUUUUUUCUCAAUAAAUUUUCCAUCAUGAACUUAAUCAUAGAGAAAAAGUAUUAGUAUAAUAAUUCUUCUUAAUUUGUGUUCAUUGAGUACGCAAGAAAAUAUAAUAGGUUAAACUUUUAUCAGGCAUUGUGAGUUUAAUCAAUCUCUCACCAUUUACGAAAAUUAAUUGUAAUAUAAAGAUUCAAAGAUUAAAUUGACGAGAUAGAGAAAAUUAGUAUUAUGUAUUUGGUCCUGAGUAGUAUCAAUUUUUCUUCAAACAGUCAAAUCAGCCUGGCUAGCAACAUUUUAUUAACCAAUCUACAACUGGCACGAAUACCAGAAAGCAGCCUUUAAUAGCAAUGAUAUUCGCCAUACAGAUUAGGGGUAGGUAAAAUUAUAUUUGCCGCCAAAAAAAUGAAUCGUUAGUCUUUUUUUUUUUUGGUUAAAAAAAAAUCCAUCGAUUUAUAUGAGAGAAAAUAAAAAGCCAAAAAAACUAGAAAAACGCAAAAGAAAUUACAGGUCAAAGGGAAAAAAAAAAGCCUAACUAAAUCGAACCAAAUUGAUUGGAUUUUCAAUUCAGUUCAAAUUGUUAAUUUUUUGAAAAACUCACCAUCGGAAUUCAACUAAAUCUAACCAAAAGUGAAAUAUAGAUGGCUUCUUUAAUUUUUAACUUCUAGCAAUUGUAAUUACACUUUUACAAUUGAAAAAAUAAUGCAAAGCCUAAUUAUUAUUAUUUUUUCUUUUCAUUUACACUGCUCUGAUAAAUUUUCCGGCAUAUAUAACAAUGAUAAUAAAUUCAACUUAUUAUUUUUAUUGUUAGCUAAAUAGAGACGAUGCUUUCACUUUCAAGCACUGUAGAGAGAGGUGACUGAGAAAAGAUAUGGUUACUUACGUUUUUGGUGUUUAACGGCAACGCAGAUUGUCGAAUUGCUUGUAGUGUUGAACCCACAAUAAUUCCCUGAAUUUUCGCAGUCGUAGCAUCCAUCAAGAGCUUCCCAUGUUAAGACUACUGGAGUUGCCUUCGCCGUCGUAGCAAUAUCCUGAAGAGGUAAUCCGGCGGGAAUCUCAACUGUUCGAGAUUUUCUACAAUAUGGAGGCAUAUCAUCCAUUGAAGAUUCGCUAUCUAUGGUAUAGACAAGAUUGUUUUCAUUGCUAAGACAAUUGAUCGGUCCAAUUAGUUCAAAUACAGACCGUUCUGCAGCAGCCUUCUCAGUGCAGUUAUAUAAAGCGUAACUUUCAGUAAAGAAUUUGGAGUGUGUGAGGUUGAAAGAGAUAAGACUUUGAAACGGGCAUGCAGUCUCAUUCACAUCUGUAAUGUUAAUACUGCUGUCCAGAUAAGAAAUUUCAUGGACAUAAUAAUCACCAGAGGAAGGAAGAUGCCAGAUUGUCUUGUCACUUAAGCAUGACAAUUCAAACCCUUCAAGGCCACAAGAUAUUGGUUGAGUUUUGAGUCUGAAGGGAUAUCUGAUACUUGGGUUCCUAUUACUGCAAUUUGUUGGUUGACAGAAUUCAUAUUUAUCUGUCUUGUUGUCCUCUGCAGAAGCUUUGGCUAAUGUACAUGUGUAAGGUAAGAAGAGGAAGAGGAUUAUUAAACUCAUCACGAGGGACAUGGAGGGAGAGGGAGAGCGGAGUUUGAGUUAGAGCAGAGUUUGAGUUAUGCUUUUGGAGUAAUAAGGGAGAGGAGAGUUUGAUUGUCAAUUUGUCAUGGAAAAAGGUAGGAAAAUGGGUUUCUUUUAAUUUCUUCUGUUCUUUCCUUCUCUCUUUUCUCCUUUUUCUAAGUCAAUGGUAGCCCCAAAGAGACUAGUCAACUUCAGUAUCUGCCAAUAUCAGAUGCAUGGAGGAACAGGAUGGGACUUGCUGUUUGUGAUAUAGAUUUUAGUGAGAGUUAUGAAAGUAAUUUGUAGGUAGGAAAUGAGAAAAUUAUGUUUUUAAGAUCAAUAAGUAAUGUUCUUUAGAAAACCGGUAAUUCCUAGCAGCUACCCUCCGCUUACCAUGAUAUAUCAGUGUGAGACUAAGGGUAUGUUUAGGGUUGAUGGGAACUAUGUGUCUUUUAAUUCACCACUGUUGUGGGAUUGAAUUAUUAGCUAUUAAGCAAAAGUGGAUGUGUGGUGAUAUUUAGGUGUCUCCCAUAUACUUUGGUAAUUGUACUUUAAAUUAAGUUGAGGAGGAGCACAGAGUUCAAAGCAUACUCUAGCUCAAUCAGAUAUGCAGCAAGCAGCGUUGCAAAAGGUUGAUGAAUGUACAUGAUCACGUGACAAACCUACAUCAUAUUCUGGUCGAUAUGAGCAAAAUUGGAAUCUUCACAUCAAACAAUGAAUCGUACUGAAAUUUUUCAACAUAAUGUUUUAGAAGCUCUGGUAGCAUAAGGACAAUUUAUUUCUUUUUUACACAUAUCAUUGCCAAAAUUAAGCAUAACUAUCAUUGAAAGAACAUUCCUCAGUCCAUUCAGACACUAAGAACUCUGUUGAAGAAUCUGAUUCAAUCUCUCUUCCGGAGAUAUGUCGAGAAGAAGAGAAGCAAGGUUUAGGAGGCAUUUGCAAAUCGUCCAUACUCCCUUCUAACAUUUCCAAAACUUUUGUCAUGGAGGGGCGAUCAGCUGCCUUCACCUGAAUACACCAUAAACCAAUCAUACACAGUUUCCUUGCAAUCACGGACUCAAUUUCAGUCACAUUCCGAAGCUCUAAAUCACCUCCCUUAUUUAAUUGGUCAUAUACCCAAGAUGGGAAAUAUGCUUUGCUUGAACGAAUUGCGUUCAUAUUAGAAUUCCUUCUUCCUCCAGCCAUUUCCAGCAACACCAUCCCAAAACCGUAAACAUCUGACUUGCAAGAAACAGUUCCAAAAUUUCUUGAAAUCAGCUCCGGUGCUAUGUAUCCUAUGGUUCCUCUUGUGGCACUGAUGGACACAAAAUCAUUUUCCUUGGGAUGAAACUUUGCAAGGCCGAAAUCUGAGACCUUUGGGAUGAAAUUAUGAUCUAGUAGGAUGUUGUGAGGCUUAAUGUCAAAAUGCAGAAUGCACAUAUCACAUCCGUUAUGUAAAUACGCGACCCCACGAGCUGUUCCUAAGGCAAUUUCCUGGAGUUUCUCCCAACCAAAAGUUUGGCCUUUAUUUUCCUUGGGAAAGAUAUGCCUGUCGAGUGAUCCAUUAGGCAUAAACUCGUAGACAAGUGCACGUUUGGAUCCCUCAGAACAGAACCCCAAUAACUGGACCACAUUAACGUGGUGAAUUCUACCUAUUGUUGAAACUUCGUUGAUGAAUUCCUCCGCACUGAACUUGGAGUUCUCCAGCAUCUUAACAGCAAUCAAGCGACCGGUAUGAAGUUGUCCUUUAUAAACUGAACCAAAGCCACCUUGGCCUAAUUUAUGAGUGAAGUGGUUUGUCACGGCAAUUAUCUCAGGGUAAGAGUACCUUUUAGGCAUCCACGAUUGCUGGUUGUGCAGAAAUUUCUCAAUAUUAUCAACUGUUUGCAAUGUCGUUCUCUAUUUGUGGAUAAGGAACACGAGAAAGACUAUUGGAGCAAGAAUAAAUCUACCAAUUAUCAGAACAUCAACUGGAAACCCUGGAAAAGAGAACGUUUAUUGAAAGUAAAUAGUAGUAAGCAAAGCAAUAAAAAGAGGAUCCUGGAGAGGAGAUUUUACCUAACAGAAAACUUAUCCAAACCCCCAGUCUUGAUUCUAUGUUACGGUAGGAACGCCGCGAGAUUUCAUGGAAAACUGCAGUUGGAGAUAGAAAAAAUUAAGCUUUAUAUCUAAUCAGAGAAAUGAUUCAGAAAAAAGUUAGAAAGUAAAAGAUUAGAGAGUACAUAAAGCCAUCACAUUUAUUAACAUCGAAAACCCAUAAGCAAAAUGAUAUGUAAGGAUCUGCUUACGUAUGUCAUCUUGGUAGCAAAUAAAUUUUCUGAUUAUUCCUCCAUAGUAAUCAUUGCAUUCUGGAAAGACUGCAAAAGUGAAAAAGAAACAGAAAUUAAAGGUCAUAUCGGUAUGCUCUUAGAGAUAGUUCACAAAUUCUUUAUUACGUAGAAUAUUGGAAAACAAAAACAAAGCCCUUGCAUUUGAAUGCAUAAAUAAAUAUAAGCAUAAGCUUACAGUGAGUCAUUGGGAGGCUCCAGCUCCAAUCUGACCAUGUAAGAUCGAACCCUGACUCCAGCAAUUUUCGGAGGUCUUCAUAAGAAGGUUUGUCCACGCUCCCAUUAAGUACUACAGGAACCUUUGUAAUGAAGGCGCAUGAGUCUGGAAGAUGUGUGGUUUCGAUGAAAUCAGGUGCAACAUAAACAUAGACAUUCGACUGAUUGUUACUCAAACAUGGAACUUUCGCAUACGCCUGAUCAACAAUAUUACUCGAGCAAUUCACGUAAUAGGCGUAUGAAUUAAGAUUGUAAUCAAAAUAAUAUCUGAAAAUUAAACCAGGUGGGGAAAAAGAAGUGGAUGGGAAGCUGCAGCUUCCAUAGGCUAAGUUAGCAUCGACAACACUGAUUGUACUCUUAUCAUAGGAAAUUCUCUUCACAUAGUACUUUCCAGAAUUGGAUUCUAAGAUGGUUUUGUUGCUCUCGCAAGAAAGUUCUAACUCCGGAUGACCGCAUCCAGCUGGAUCGCCCUUGAGGUGAAGAGGGUAGCUUAUGUUUUUGCCAUCUCCACAAGAAGAAGAACACUUUUCUACUUCAAGUUUUCUUGCUUCAAUUUCACUGGUGCUGAAUACAAACAUCAACAGACAAAACAGAAAAGUUGAGAAAAUUGAAGCUUCUUCACUACUCAUUGCUCCUCCAAUUGCAGGACACAAAUAACGAAUUUGAAUCAACUAAGCAGAACGGUGUAUAAGUGUUAAUGCACUACGUUUUCUACCGUUUCAUUUGCACGGUGAGAGGCGAGCUUUAAACUUAUCAUAGUUUAGUAUACAACUAUGUGAUUGAAUUAAUUAGCACUGUUGUGUGUGAAAGCAAAUCCAGAAAGCCCAAACGACAGAAGACCUUGCGUUUGAAGCUGAAAUCACUUAAGCCAAACGACAGAGAUACGUGCGUUUUGAUGAGCAAAUUAAACGCUCCUCAGAACGACAUACAAGCUUGCCGUUUAGCUUUAAGUAACGCAUGCGAACAUCACGUGCUUGUAUCCAGCUCACAAGGUUCGUUAAAAUGCCGUUAAAGCACGAGGAACUCACGUGAGUUGCUGGGUAAUUCUGGGUUCAUUAUGAAGCUGUUAUGAAGCAGCUGAUUCUGGUGCAAGAGAUUCAAGAGUGUAGAGAGCUGUAGAGAGAGAUAGGGCUGGAAUAAAUAAGCAGUCCAGAUCUUGUAUUAAGGCUCAUAGCAUUGCUCUGUAAAUCAUCUUGAGAAUCAAUGAAAGCUGGUCAUAUUUGCCCUCCCGUGGAUGUAAGCUAGAGAGAUCUAGCUGAACCACGUUAAACCUUUCUUGUUCCUUGCUCUUUCUAAUUCUUCUGUUUUCUUAAUUCUGUUUGGUUGAUCAUCAUCACUUCCAUUAAUUCAACUUAGUUAGAUUCUGUAGUAAUCAAUCUUGAAGCAUCUUGGUGAAUUUGGUUUGCGAUCUUUGGCAGGAUCUAAGGUUGCUUGGUCUGUUUAUAGCAUCUUAGGUUCUACAAGCACCAAAAUAAUUUGUUUAAAAAUAAUAUUAAUUAUUCAUAAAAAUGAAAUCGACACGAUGGAAGAAAAUUUUUAAUUACUCAGCGCUGGGCUUUUAGCAUUAAUGCAAUGGAAGAUAAAGGGACAAAUUUGGAUAAACAUGUUCAAUUUCGUUUCUUACGGCAAAUUUUUCAUGCGGAUGCCAGGAAGCUUCUGAAGAGGUGUAAGCUUUCAAAUUUCAAUGGGGAAGUCCAUACGGCAAAGUGAAGUCACUUAAUUUCCUGGUAAUUGUAAAUGAGUUAGCAUCGGUGGGAAUGGGAUGAUCCGUCCCCAUCCUAGCUUGACCUCAAGUUUCUAAGUAAAUGUUCUUCAAUAUUAAAAGCGAUAGAACUUAUUGGAAACAUUUUCCAUACAUGUUGUCCAAUUCCAGUAAAUAUCUUUUGCUUUCUUAAUUUUUCUCACCACCAAACGCAAUGGCUUACUUUAUUUAUUUAUUUACUUUAACAGGAUUUGGAGAAACGCGGCAUUGGAAAUUUGGAACGGCCCCCGACGACCAACACCUUUAAAGUGACCGACAUGCAGAAGAAUGAGGACUUCUCAUCUCAUGUCAUGUUCACGCGUUUCUAAAAAUUAUGGUUUGCUGUUGUAAUUAUUAUUAUUAUUAUCAUUACUACUACUACUUUGAAUAAAAAAAUUUAUUUAUAUUUAAAAUUAAGUUAAAUUCCGUCAUGUCCCUAAAUAUUUCAACAUUUUCCACCGCGUCCCCAAAUCUUUCAAUAAUUUCCACGCCACACUCAAAUCUAUUAAUUUGACCGUUUAUUCUAAUGGUCAAAGGAAAAAUUUAGAAGUUCAUGCCCUAAAUAUUAUUUGAUGAUAAUAGAUUAAAUUUAUUUGAUAAAUUAAUUGAUGGGAUUAUUAUUAAUUACCUUUAAUUAAGAAUUUUUAUCUCAUUUAAUUCUUCUCUAAUUCAAGAUAAGGGACGUUUAGGAUAUUUAACUAAAUUUCAAAUAACUCCGUUAAAAAUAACGGUCAAAUUAAUGGAAUUAGGUGUAAGGUGGAAAUUAUUAAAACAUUUGGGUGUGCGGUGGAAAAUAUCGAAACAUUUGCGGGCUGGGUGGAAAUAACGCGUAAAAUUACGAUCAGGUGCGCACAAUCGCACAAUAUAUAAUGCAUGAUAAGUUUUUAUAUUGUAGGCGUGUGUGGCGGCAUGUAUAUGCCAUAUAGUGCAUUAGUAUUUUUAUUAAUUUUUUCAAUUAACUAAUAUACAAUAUAUUUCUGUAGUGUAUUGAAAUCUAAAUUUUUUUUUAUCUUUUAUCUUAUCCCUUACUUUUGACAAAUCAAUUAUGUCAAAAAAGGCCAUGAGAAUAUGAGUUUAUCCUUGCGCAUUGGGGACUAUUUGGGCUUUUAAAUUAUUUAAAUUUCGAAUGCCUAAUGUGAGUUGGGUUUCAUAUUGAGACCACCAAAAUUCAGAAGAAAAAAAACAUAAAUCGUGAUUAUGGAAACAAGUAAAUAUAUCAAAUAAUGAUAUUGUAAAAUUAACGGUCAACUACAUAGUUUAAUCAGAGGAUGUGAUGGCAUAUAAUAGAUUAUUAGAAUAACAAAAGAGAUGAUAUUAAUAAAAAAAUUUUAUCAUAUACAACGUUCAUUAAUAUCAAGUAGAUUAGAGUACAAAUGGUAUAAUUUAUAACAAAACUUUAAAUCAAUUUAUAUGUUACUCAUCACACACAGGAUAUAGAUGGAAAAGUUAGACCAACGAUAUAAUACUAGUUAGGCCAAAGGGAAAAAAAUUCAACGUGUCUUGAUAUUUCCACUUAAGUUACACACAACAGAUUCGAGGUAAGGAUACUUGAAUCUUAUGCUUGGUGCAACAUUUUGAUAUGUCUUCGUAAGCUAAUUUUUCAUGUGAUUUUUAAAACUUUCCAUUUCCGAUUCAAGAUUGGUUCUGUGAGUACUGAGUAGACGUCUUUGCUCCUCCAAUUCCAGGACACAAUUAACGAAUUUGAAUAAACUAAGCAGAACGGUGUAUAAGUGUACAUGAACGUUGGCGCAUUCAAUGGAAUUGCCAAUUCCAACGGUGUAUAAGUGUACGUGAACCAAUUCCAGGACACAACUAACGAAUUUGAAUAAACUAAGCAGAACGGUGUAUAAGUGUUAAUGCGCUAUGUUUUCUGCAGUUUCACUUGCACGGUGAGAGGCGGGCUUUAAACUUAUCAUAGUUUAGUAUACAACUAUGUGAUUGAAUUAAUUAGCGCUAAAUAAUUUGUUUAAAAAAACUAUUAAUUAUUCAUCAAAUGAAAUCGACACGAUGGAAGAAAAUUUUUAAUUACUGAGUGCUGGGCUUCUAGCAUUAAUGCAAUGGAAGAUAAAGGGACAAAUCUAGAUAAACAUGUUCAAUUUCGUUUCUUACUGUAAAUUUUGUAUGCGGAUGCCGCGUAGCUUCUGAAGUCUCUUUCCACGAUUUGUUUAGGUGGAAGCUCUCAGAUUUCAAUGGGGAAGUCAAUACGGCAAAGUGAAGUCGCUUAAUUUCCCGGUAAUUGUAAAUGAGUUAGCAUCGGUGGGAAUGGGAUGAUCCAUCCAUCCCCAUCCUAGCUUGACCUCAAUUUUCUUAGUAAACGUUCUUCAAUAUUAAAAGCGACAUAACUUAUUGGAAACAGUUUCCAUGCAUGCAGUCCAAUUCCAAUCAAUAUCUUUCGCUUUCUUAAUUUUUCUCACCAAACGCAAUGGCUUACUUUAUUUAUUUAUUUAUUAAUUUUAACAGGAUUUGGAGAAACGCGGCAUUGGAAAUUUGGAACGCCCCCCGACGACCAACACUUUUAAAGCGACCGACACGCAGAAGAACGAGGACUUCUCAUGUCAAGUUCACGCGUUUCUAAAAAUUAUGGUUGCUGUUGUAAUUAUUAUUGUUACUAUUAUUAUUUUUAUGAAUUAAGAAAGAUAUAUAUAUAUAUAUAUAUGUAUGUAUGUAUUUAAAAUUAUGAUCAGAUGCAUCGCAAAAUAUAUAAUGUAUGAUAAGUUUUUAUGUUGUAGGCGUGUGUGACGGCACAUAUAUGCCAUUUAGUGCAUUAGUGUUUUUAUUAACUUUUUUCAAUUAACUAAUAUAUAAUAUAUUAGUAAAUUCAUGUUUUAAAAGAUGCAGAAUUCCACACAUGACAAAAUAUAUGUGUGUAUGUGUCUAUAUAUACAAACACUUUUGACAAAUCGGUUAUGUCAAAAAAGGCCAUGAGAAUAUGAGUCUAUCUUUGCGUAUUGGGGAUUAUUUAAGCUUUUUAAUGAUUUAAACUUUGAAUGCCCAAUAUGAGUUGGGCUUCAUAUUGAGAACCCCAAAGUAAAAAAAAAAAAAAACAUAAAUUGUUAGACUAUGAUUAUGGAAACAAGUAAAUAUAUCAAAUAAUGAUAUUGGAAAAUUAAUGGUCGAAUACAUAGUUUGAUCAUGGGAUAUGACAACAUAUAAUGAUAUUAAUAAUUUUUUUUAUCAUAUACGACGUUCAUUAAUCUCAAGUAGAUUAGAGUACAAAUGGUAUAAUUUUUGACUAAAAUUUAAAUCAAUUUAUAUGUUAUUCAUCACACACAGUAUAUAGAUAGAAAAAGUUAGACCACCGAUAAAAUACUAGUUAGGCGCAAAGAGAAAAAAAAAAUCAAUUUGUCAUGAUAUUUCCACUUAACUUACAUACUACAGAUUCGAGCUAAGGAUACUUGAAUCUUAUGCUUGGUGCAACAUUUUGAUGUGUCUUCGUAGGCUAAUUUUUCAUGUGAUUUUCAAAACUCUCCAUUUCCGAUUCAGGAUUGGUUUUAUGAGUAGCUCUCUUUGCCGUCAAGAGUCAAAGUGUCACCAUGAUAUUUUAUGAAGGCAAAUCACUUCCGCAGAGAUUUCCUCUCUGUCAAAUGUUUUCGUAUUAAUUUUGUGACAUUUUAACGAGUCCUGUUGUGUUUCAUGCGGCAUGUAGUUCUACUGUAAAUGGCUUUAAUGAAAUAGUCGCUCAUUUCAAAUGUCACAGACUCGCAGCUGCAUUAGUAUAAUGUAUAUAUUGAUUUAAAAUUUGGUCAUGUUGUAUGCCACUUGUUUUUAAUAUUUGUCAGGUCGAAUUCAAAUCCAUAAAAUAAAAUAUUGAUCAAAUGAUUAACUUAGUAGCCGAUAUGGCAAUAGCAGUCUCUUUGAAAAUGUGCUGCUAAAAAACACAAUAUAAUAACAUAUCUAUUGUAAAAGGCGGACAAGAAAAGGAGGGAAAGCAAUGUAGACUUGAUUUAUCUCCAGCUUAACAGGGGGAAGCACUUCAUAAAUUAAUGCUUUUAAGCCUGCAAACAUUUAACUAGCAUCAUGCAUACAAAUACCUUGCUACUGUAAACAAUUUAUCAAGUACUUCAAUUUCGUGCUGCUGUGGAUAUGCCUGCUUCCAAGGCUAUUCAGCUGCUAUUUAUUAUUGUGGAGACAAAAGCAUAUCGAUUGGUGAUUUUUUUUUCCUCUUUAAUAUUUGGUGCAUGUGUUUGUUCUGAUUGAAGUAGAGGGUGCUAAUUUUCUGAAAUUUUGUUGACAGAAGAUAAAGAGCACAUAAAUUAAAAUGUCAUUAACCAAACGCAUUUUAAAUCUUUGUGCUCUAUGUAUUCUGUCAUCAACGUGUAGCUUCAUUUGACCCUCAAAAUUGUAGUGAUCUACUGAUCUUCUACCAAGUGCUACUCGAUAAUUUUCGUAUGAUUAUUAUUUUGUUUGUUCACACACACACACACAUAUACAUAUAUACUUGUAGUAUAAUUAUAACUUUGUAAGUUAUGUAUACACAACUACACCCAGUGUAUAUAUAAUAUUAUAUAUAUCCUCCAUACAUGCAUAUGAGCAUAUCUAUAUUGUGAAAUGAGGCAAAUGGCGGCAUUAAAAGCCCACUAAUGACUUGGCAGAUUCAGAAUUGGGACUGCUCCUGUGACCUGCUUCAUCGUGGACGCUUUGGGCUUUUCAUAGGAGCAGAAUUAAAAAGCCCACUAAUGAAUUGGGCUAUUCUUGGAGGCAACCACAGUCCAUAAAGAAACAUAAAGCCAUGAACUGUUCCCUUUUUUGGUUUAUUUUUUUCCUUCUAGUCUGAUUCACUUCCAAAGUAGCUGUUUGACAAACUUAAAGAUGAAUAUAAUAUCAUGGACUUUAAUUCUUAAAUUUAACAAAUAUGAGAGCACAUUUAAAAAAAGAAUCAUAAGAACGUGGUAAGAAAGUAAAAUUUUGAAACAAGCAUGUGAUUAAUUAAAACAUAAAUGAAUCCUAACUUUAUUUUGGUCUUAAGGAAAAAAAAAUCAUCAUGAAAAAUGAAAGCUUCCUAAAUUUUAUUUGAGCGCAUGAUACGACAACAUAUACAAAUACAAGAAGAAUAUGAGAGAUAAUAUUAAGAUUUUUAUAUUUUAAAAAAAUAAAUUUCAUUCAUCUCAAUUCUCAAGUAGGUAAUAGAAAUACAGUAGUAGGUCCUCAACUAAUAUUCAGAUCAAUUUACACGCAACUCAUCAUAGUAGUUUAGAUGGACAGGUCAUUGAUAUUUUAUAACCCCCCACCUAUAACUUUCUUACAACGAAUUCAAAUUAGUGAUCAUUAAGAAUGUUUGAAUCGUACGUUCAGCGCAAUAUUUGAUGUGUUUUAAGUAAUUUAAAAAGAAAUUUAACGAAUAAAAUAUAUAAAAUAAGAUUUUAUUAGCUAUGCUAAGGCCAUCAAUAAUUUUUUUAUUUUUUAUUUUGUUUCUAGCCGAAACUUAUCCUUCGAGAUUUGGUUCUACAAGUAGACCUCCUUCACCUUGCCGUCAAAAGUCAAGUGCCAUGUAAUGAGUGUAGGAUAUGAUGGAAAAUCAUUUUAACAUGAUAAAAAAAUGAAUCUCGAACCUUUUGACUAAAAUUCACUUUUUAAUUAAAAACCUUAUUUUGUAACGUGCCCUCCGCAACUCGUUGGAAUCAAAAGCAUUUAUUACAAAUUCGAGUACUUUUUUCGUUUGUGCACUUUUGCACUUUUUUACAGAUUUAUUAUAAACAAAUAAUUAUAAUUUAAUUUCAGCAGCACUUAAUUAAUUAAAAAUGAAUUUUAAAUCUUUAACUACCUCAAUGAACCAAAUUUUAUUAUCUACUAAUCACUUUUAAUCGAUUUAUCAAAAGUAAUCAAUCCUUCUCAAUUAAUUGUUUCUUUUUUAAAUUUUAAUUUACUCCUAAGUCUUAAAUAUAUCAUAAUAUGAGGAAGUAGUGUUUAUACAACAGAACCCAAUUAUUAUAAACACCCAAAAAAAAAAAAAACAAAAAAGAGGACAGAGCGAGAGAAAGAAAACAAAAAAGAUGGAAAAUUUACAGCAAUAAAAGAACCCCAAAGAGCUCCUAAAAAAUUCCGAAAAAAUAUUAAAAAAACUAAAAUUCCUAAAAAUUCUAAACUAAUUAACAAAAAACAAAAAAGAAAGAAAGAAAGCGUAUGGUCGAAACUACCACCAACUCAUUGUUAAUCCAAUCCCAGGAUACGAUGAAUGUCAAUAAAUUAAACAGAAGGCCGCAUUUUCAAAGUUUUGGAUACGUAUUUACAUCAUUACUUGACAAUUUAGUAAAUAUAUUAUAGCAUUCAACUAUCUGAUUCUACUAGCUGAAAAUGAUUUAGCAAUAAUUAAUUGUUCAAAAAUAGUAUUAUCUUAUUCUUAAAAAAAAUCAACAAAGAUGGGGAAAUUAAAAAGGUUUAAAAGAGCAUAUUAAUUUUAUUUGUUGAGUGCAAGACUCGUAGCAUUCAUGCAAUGGGGGAUUUCGGACACUCUUACAAGUCAGUCAACUCUCAGUAAACGUUUUGAUUGCAAGUUUGCGUCGGUGAUGAUUUUUUGUCAUUACUUUUGGUAAAAUAAUGAAGAAAAUUUCCACUUCAGAGUUUUAAGUUAAGCUUAGCACACCUCUAGUUAUAUUCUUUUGCCACCAAUAUGGACAGAUUCAAAUCUCAAACUUGUUGUAUCAACUCAAAAGAUUUCAACAACUAAAUUAUCUAUCACUCGCGAAAAGUGUGUGCAUUAGGCUCCAAUUCGAGAUAAAGCAAUGAGAAGAAGAAUAACAUUUGUCAUUAAUUGCACGCUAUUCAUUUAUUUAUUUUACAUUCAUCAUUGGAAAAAUGAAACCUAAAUAUCACUGAAAGAUCAUUCCUUCACUGAUUCAGACAUUAACAACUCCGUUGAAGAAUCUGAUUCAAUCUCUCUUCCGGAUAUAUGACGAGAAGAAGAUGAGAAAGGUUUUGGAGGCAUUUGCAAAUCGUCAAUACUCCCUUCUAAAAUUUCCAAAACUUUUUGUCACAGAGGAGCGAUCAGCGCCUUAGUCACAGCUCAGGUAAUAUUUUAACCUAUAUAUUGUUCCUCCUGUGGCGCUGAUGGGAGCAAAAUCAUUUUCCUUGGGAUGAAAUUUUGCAAGGGCCGAAAUCUGAGCCGUUGGGGAAGGAAUUAGGAUCUAGCAGGAUGUUGUGAGACUUAAAUGUUGAAAUGAAGACUGCACACAUCACAUCCGGCCGUUCUGUAAAUACUCGAUCCCGCGAGCCUUUUCUAAAGCAACCUAGCUCAUGGAGUUUCUGCCAACUACCCUCCUUGGGAACUAUAAGCCUAUCAAUAAAGGAAUGCUCUUUCAGUAGUUAUGCUUUUUUUUUUUUUUCAAUGAUGGUUUAAAAAUAGACUAAAGUUUUCGUAUNNNNNNNNNNNNNNNNNNNNNNNNNNNNNNNNNNNNNNNNNNNNNNNNNNNNNNNNNNNNNNNNNNNNNNNNNNNNNNNNNNNNNNNNNNNNNNNNNNNNNNNNNNNNNNNNNNNNNNNNNNNNNNNNNNNNNNNNNNNNNNNNNNNNNNNNNNNNNNNNNNNNNNNNNNNNNNNNNNNNNNNNNNNNNNNNNNNNNNNNNNNNNNNNNNNNNNNNNNNNNNNNNNNNNNNNNNNNNNNNNNNNNNNNNNNNNNNNNNNNNNNNNNNNNNNNNNNNNNNNNNNNNNNNNNNNNNNNNNNNNNNNNNNNNNNNNNNNNNNNNNNNNNNNNNNNNNNNNNNNNNNNNNNNNNNNNNNNNNNNNNNNNNNNNNNNNNNNNNNNNNNNNNNNNNNNNNNNNNNNNNNNNNNNNNNNNNNNNNNNNNNNNNNNNNNNNNNNNNNNNNNNNNNNNNNNNNNNNNNNNNNNNNNNNNNNNNNNNNNNNNNNNNNNNNNNNNNNNNNNNNNNNNNNNNNNNNNNNNNNNNNNNNNNNNNNNNNNNNNNNNNNNNNNNNNNNNNNNNNNNNNNNNNNNNNNNNNNNNNNNNNNNNNNNNNNNNNNNNNNNNNNNNNNNNNNNNNNNNNNNNNNNNNNNNNNNNNNNNNNNNNNNNNNNNNNNNNNNNNNNNNNNNNNNNNNNNNNNNNNNNNNNNNNNNNNNNNNNNNNNNNNNNNNNNNNNNNNNNNNNNNNNNNNNNNNNNNNNNNNNNNNNNNNNNNNNNNNNNNNNNNNNNNNNNNNNNNNNNNNNNNNNNNNNNNNNNNNNNNNNNNNNNNNNNNNNNNNNNNNNNNNNNNNNNNNNNNNNNNNNNNNNNNNNNNNNNNNNNNNNNNNNNNNNNNNNNNNNNNNNNNNNNNNNNNNNNNNNNNNNNNNNNNNNNNNNNNNNNNNNNNNNNNNNNNNNNNNNNNNNNNNNNNNNNNNNNNNNNNNNNNNNNNNNNNNNNNNNNNNNNNNNNNNNNNNNNNNNNNNNNNNNNNNNNNNNNNNNNNNNNNNNNNNNNNNNNNNNNNNNNNNNNNNNNNNNNNNNNNNNNNNNNNNNNNNNNNNNNNNNNNNNNNNNNNNNNNNNNNNNNNNNNNNNNNNNNNNNNNNNNNNNNNNNNNNNNNNNNNNNNNNNNNNNNNNNNNNNNNNNNNNNNNNNNNNNNNNNNNNNNNNNNNNNNNNNNNNNNNNNNNNNNNNNNNNNNNNNNNNNNNNNNNNNNNNNNNNNNNNNNNNNNNNNNNNNNNNNNNNNNNNNNNNNNNNNNNNNNNNNNNNNNNNNNNNNNNNNNNNNNNNNNNNNNNNNNNNNNNNNNNNNNNNNNNNNNNNNNNNNNNNNNNNNNNNNNNNNNNNNNNNNNNNNNNNNNNNNNNNNNNNNNNNNNNNNNNNNNNNNNNNNNNNNNNNNNNNNNNNNNNNNNNNNNNNNNNNNNNNNNNNNNNNNNNNNNNNNNNNNNNNNNNNNNNNNNNNNNNNNNNNNNNNNNNNNNNNNNNNNNNNNNNNNNNNNNNNNNNNNNNNNNNNNNNNNNNNNNNNNNNNNNNNNNNNNNNNNNNNNNNNNNNNNNNNGGCCGUACAGCAGUAUUAUUUUAAAUGUAAAAAAUAAUUUAAUAUUAUUAGUCUACUGGAUAGAUUAUAUUAUUUAUAUUAAAUUUUAAUUAAAUAAAAAACUUCAAAGUCAAUUUCCUAAUUAAUAAAUUCAAAGGGUAUUAUGAUUAAAAAUGGGUCUUGAUGUCUCAUUUUAAAAACUUGAGAGUUUUUGUAAUUAUUUUCUCACACCUUAAGGGUAUAAUUAUCUUUUUUCCUCAAUAAUAUUAUAAAUUGAAAAAAUUCAUCCAUAGUUGUAUUAAUGUUGUAUCACUCGAACACAUCAAAGAUUUUAAGCGAUAAAUAAAACAACCAGAGUCAAACAAAAACUCAAUUUAGUGGUUUUCAAGCGUUCCAAUAACAAGAAGGACUAAAUAAUUUAGCUUAUAAUCGGGGAAAAUUUGAAAUAAAUUAACAAUAUCCCUUUUUAAUUGUAAUCUUCUGCUAUCUAGAUCAAUUGAUUGCACCUGCCUCAACAUCAGCAGAGACAAAGGGCAUUGGAGGGAUCUCCAAGCUUUGUAAAUCAGCUUCAAGCAUUUGUAAUACCAUUGGCAUGGAAGGUCUCUCCGUGGGAUUCCAUUGAAUGCACCAAAUUGCCACAAUUGCAAGCUUUCUCGCAAUUCCCUCAUCCCCAUCUUCCUCAAAAUCCAAACAGAGCUCUUGUCCUAGCCUCAUUCUAUUGUAAAUCCACUCUGGAAAAUAUAUUUGGCUCUGAAUUUCAACCGCAGGAUCAUUAUUUUUUCUGCAUCCGACCAUCUCUAACAGCAUCAUUCCGUAACUGUAAACAUCAGACUUGUAAGAGAUCUCACCAAAAUUCCUGGAGAAAAGUUCAGGUGCAAUGUAGCCAGAAGUGCCUCUGGCAGCUGUCAGAGAUACAAUGCUUAUGUCCUUUGAGCACAACUUAGCCAGUCCAAAAUCUGAAAUCUUCGGUUGAAAAUUAUGGUCUAAUAAUAUAUUGUGAGGCUUGAUAUCGAAGUGCAGGAUCCUCUGGUUGCAUCCUUGGUGCAAGUACUCCACUCCACGGGCAACGCCAAAUGCAAUCUUCCUCAGCUUCUCCCAACUCAAUUGACGGUGACUUGAGCUAUUUGUCUUUGAGAAGAUGAAUUUCUCAAGUGAUCCAUUGGGCAUAAACUCGUAAAUAAGAGCGCGACGAUUCCCUUCAGAGCAAAAUCCCAGAAGCCGAACAAUGUGAAAGUGGUGAAUCCUGCCAAUUGUGGCCACUUCAUUGAUGAACUCUUGUCCAUUUCCUUUUAAAUGUUCCAACAUCUUGACAGCAACUGGAAUUCCGUUGAAGAGUUUUCCUCUGAACACACUUCCAUAACCUCCCUGGCCGAGCCUGUGCUUAAAUCUGCUUGUUAUUUUCUUCAGUUCUUUGUAAGUAUAUCUGGUGGGAUUGACGGUCCUGUAGUUUUCGAGGAACUUCUCCACCUUCAGUUGAGUCUCUUUUUCUUUUUCAGAUUCUCUUGAUCUGUAAAUGAGAAAUAUCACUAAUGCAAAGAGGGUGAUGCCUCCAAUGCUUGUGCCUGUGGAUAUUAGACUUAUAGAUAAAGGGCCAGGACCAUCUGUUACAAUAAAAUGAGAUGCUAAAAGUUAGUUAAAAAAUCAACUCAAAGAAUAAAAUGAGACGCUAAAAGUUUGGACCCGUGUAAGCUUAACUUGGUAGCAUAAAGACUCAAUAUUAUUUGAUUGGGUUUUAACAAGUCCCUCUCAUGUGACCAUCUCAUAUAGAUAUUUGUCCAUAACUUAAAUGAUAAUUAUAUAUCUUAUUCACAUGGGUGGAUAGAUAAUUAGGUCGUCAUUUAACUAAAUAAUGAAAAAAUAUUAAUAAGGAGAAGGAUGAAAUUAUUUGAACUGCAAAGUAAGCACUCUUUCACCUUGCACACUUCAAUUUUAAAAUUGUAAUUUUUACUCAAGCACACAAUGAAAACACCAAAAUGAUCACAAUUAGAAAUCCCUAUCAUUAUGCUUUUUUUUUGCCUUUCUGCAUUCACAAAAUGAUUUUUUUUCCCUCGUCUCUUAUUCCAUGUGAAUAUUGAGGGUCACUUAAUUAAACAAAUUUUUUUUCUCAACAAAUUUGCCAUCAUGAACGUUUUUUUCUCAACAAAUUUGCCAUCAUCUUAAUUUGUAUUCAUUGAGGACGCAAGAAAAUAUAAUAGAUUAAACUUUUAUCAGGCAUUGUGAGUUUAAUCAAUCUCUCACCAUUAACGAAAAUUAAUUGUAAUAUAAAGAUUCAAGAUUAAAUUGACGAGAUAGAGAAAAUUAGUACUAUCUAUUUGGUCCUGAGUAGUAUCAGUUUUUCUCCAAACAGUCAAAUCAGCCAGGCUAGCAACAUUUUAUCGAGCACUCUACAACUAGCAAUAAUACUGGAAAGCAGCUUUUAUAGCAAUGAUAUUCGUCAUACAGAUUAGGGGUGGGUAAAAUUAUAAUUGCCGCCAAAAAACAAAUCGUCAGUUUUUUUUUUUUUUGUAAAAAAAAAUCCAUCGAUUUAUAUGAGAGAAAGUAAAAAACCAAAAAAACUAGAAAAACGCAAAAGAAAAUGCAGGUCAAAUGAAAAAAAAUAAAUAAAUAAAACCUAACUAAAUCGAACAAAUUGAUUGGACUUUCAGUUCAGUUCAAAUUAUUAAUUUUUUGAAAAACUGACCAUCGGAAUUCAACUAAAUCUAAGUUCUAACCUUUGCCCAGUGCCCACCCCUAAAAUAAUAUAGAUGGCUUCUUUAAUUUUUAACUUCCAGCAAUUGUAAUUACACUUUUACAAUUGAAAAAAUAAUGCAAAGCCUAAUUAUUAUUAUUUUUUUUCAGUUACACUGCUCUGAUCAUUUUUCCAAUAGAGACGAUGCUUUCACUUUCAAGCACUGUAGAGAGAGGUGACUGAGAAAAGAUAUGGUUACUUACGUUUUUGGUGUUUAACGGCAACGCAGAUUGUCGAAUUGCUUGUAGUGUUGAACCCACAAUAAUUCCCUUAAUUUUCGCAGUCGUAGCAUCCAUCAAGAGCUUCCCAUCCUAAGACUACUGGAGUUGCCCUCGCCGUCGUGGCAAUAUCCUGAAGAGGUAAUCCACCAGGAAUCUCAACUGUUCCAGAUUUUCUGCAAGAUGGAGGCAUAUCCUCCACUGAAGAUUCGCUAUCUAUGGUACAGACAAGAUUGUUUUCAUUGCUAAGACAAUUGAUCGGUUCAAUUGGUCCAUACGAAGUCCAUCCUGGGGAAGCCUUCUCAAUUCACAUCUGUAAUGUUAAUACUGCUGUCCAGAUAAGAAAUUUCAUGGACAUAAUAAUCACCAGAGGAAGGAAGAUGCCAGAUUGUCUUGUCACUUAAGCAUGACAAUUCAAACCCUUCAAGGCCACAAUAUGUUGGUUGAGCUUUGAGUCUGAAGGGAUAUAUGAUCCUUGGGCUCUUAUUACUGCAUCUUGUUGGUUGACAGAAUUCAUAUUUAUCUGUCUUGUUGUCUUCCGCAGAAGCUUUGGCUAAUGUACAUGUGUAAAGUAGGAAGAGGAAGAGGAUUAUUAAACUCAUCACGAGGGACAUGGAGGGAGAGGGAGAGCGGAGUUUGAGUUAGAGCAGAGUUUGAGUUAUGCUUUUGGAGUAAUAAGGGAGAGGAGAGUUUGAUUGUCAGUUUGUCAUGGAAAAAGGUAGGAAAAUGGGUUUCUUUUAAAUUCUUCUGUUCUUUCCUUCUUUCUUUUCUCCUUUUUCUAAGUCAAUGGUAGCUCCAAAGAGACUAGUCAACUUCAAUAUCUGCCAAUAUCAGAUGCAUGGAGGAACAUGAUGAGACUUGCUGUUUGUGAUAUAGAUUUUAGUGAGAGUUGUGAAAGUAAUUUGUAGGUAAAGAAAUGAGAAAAUUAUGUUUUUAAGAUCAGUAAGUAAUGUUCUUUAGAAAACGGGUAAUUCCGAGCAGCUACCCUCCGCUUACCAUGAUAUAUCAGUGGGAGACUAAGGUCGUGUUUAGGAUCUAUGUGUCUUUUAAUUCACCAUUGUUGUGAGAUGAAAUUAUUAUCUAUUAAGUAAAAGUGGAUGUGUGGUGAUAGCUAGGUGUCUACGAUAUACUUUGGUAAUUGUACUUUAAAUUAAGUUCAGCAGGACCAGAGAGUUCAAACAAUACUCUAGCUCAAUCAGAUAUGCCGCACGCAGCGUUUCAAUAGUUUGAUGAAUGUACAUGAUCACAUGACAAACCUACAUCAUAUUCUGGUCGAUACGAGCAAAAUUGGAAUAUUCACAUCAAACAAUGAAUAUUACUGAAAUUUUUCAACAUAAUGUUAUAGAAUCCCUGGUAGCACGAGGACAAUUUAUUUCUUUUUUACACGUCAUUGCAAAAACUAAGCAUAACUAUCAUUGAAAGAACAUUCCUCAAUCAAUUCAGACACUAACAACUCUGUUGAAGAAUCUGAUUCAAUCUCUCUUCCGGAGAUAUGUCGAGAAGAAGAGAAGAAAGGUUUCGGAGGCAUUUGCAAAUCGUCGAUACUCCCUUCUAACAUUUCCAAAACUUUUGUCAUGGAGGGGCGAUCAGCUGGCUUCACCUGAAUACACCAUAAACCAAUCAUACAUAGUUUCCUUGCAAUCACGGACUCGAUUUCAGUCACAUUCCGAAGCUCUAAAUCACCUCCCUUAUUUAAUUGGUCAUAUACCCAAGAUGGGAAAUAUGCUUUGCUUGAACGAGUUGCAUUCAUAUUAGAAUUCCUUCUUCCUCCAGCCAUUUCCAACAACACCAUCCCAAAACCGUAAACGUCAGACCUGAAAGAAACAGUUCCAAAAUUUCUUGAAAUCAGCUCCGGUGCUAUGUAUCCUAUGGUUCCUCUUGUGGCACUGAGGGACACAAAAUCAUUUUCCUUGGGAUGAAACUUUGCAAGGCCGAAAUCUGAGACCUUUGGGAUGAAAUUAUGAUCUAGCAGGAUGUUGUGAGGUUUAAUGUCGAAAUGAAGAAUGCAGACAUCACAUCCGCUGUGUAAAUACUCGAUCCCACGGGCAGUUCCUAAAGAAACUUCGUGGAGUUUCUCCCAACUAAAAGAUUGGCCUCUACUUUCCUUAGGAAAGAUAUGCCUAUCGAGUGAUCCAUUAGGCAUAAACUCGUAGACAAGUGCGCGUUUGGAUCCCUCAGAACAGAACCCCAAUAACUGGACCACAUUAACGUGGUGAAUUCUACCUAUUGUUGAAACUUCGUUGAUGAAUUCCUCCGCACUGAACUUGGAGUUCUCCAGCAUCUUAACAGCAAUCAAGCGACCGGUAUGAAGUUGUCCUUUAUAAACUGAACCAAAGCCACCUUGGCCUAAUUUAUUAGUGAAGUGGUUUGUCACGGCAAUUAUCUCCGGGUAAGAGUACCUUUUAGGCAUCCACGAUUGAUGGUUGUGCAGAAAUUUCUCAAUAUUAUCAACUGUUUGCAAUGUCGUUCUCUAUUUGUGGAUAAGGAACACGAGAAAGACUAUUGGAGCAAGAAUAAAUCUGCCAAUUAUCAGAACAUCAACUGGAAACCCUGGUAAAGAGAACGUUUAUUGAAAGUAAAUAGUAGUAAGCAAAGCAAUAAAAAAAGGAUCCUGGAGAGGAGAUUUUACCUAACACAGAACUUAUCCCAUAAAUUACACUGUAAACUGCAAUUGGAGAGGGGGAAAAAAAUAAAUAAGCUUUAUACCUAAUCAGAGAGAUGAUUCAGAAAAAUUAUACAGUAAAAGAUUAGAGAAUAUAUGAAGCCGUCGCAUUUAUAAGGAUAUGCUUACGUGUAAGUUAUGAGUAGCAAAUAAUUUUUGCCCCUACUCCUUCAUUGUAGAUGCAAUCUGUUACAAAAGUGGAAAGAAACAGAAAUUAAAGGUCAUAUUGGUAUGCUCCUAGAGAUAGUUCACAAAUUCUUUAUUACGUACAAUAUUGGAAAACAAAAACAAAGCCCUUGCAUUUGAAUGCAUAAAUAAAUAUAAGCAUAAGCUUACAGCGAGGCAUCAUUAAGAGGCUCCAACUCGAAUCUGACCAUGUAAGAUCGAACCCUGACUCCAGCGAUUUUCGGAGGUCUUCAUAAGAAAGUUUGUCCGCGCUCCUAUUAAGCACUACAGGAACCUUUGAAAUGAAGGCGCAUGAGUCUGGAAGAUGUGAUAGACUGGUGGCGAUUAAAUCAUAUCCAACAUAAACAUAGACAUUCGACUGAUUGUUACUCAAACAUGGAACUUUCGCAUACGCCUUAUCAACAAUAUUACUCGAGCAAUUCACGUAAUAGGCGUAUGAAUUAAGAUUGUAAUCAAAAUAAUAUCUGAAAAUUAAACCAGGUGGGGAAAAAGAAGUGGAUGGGAAGCUGCAGCUUCCAUAGGCUAAGUUAGCAUCGACAACACUGAUUGUACUCUUAUCAUAGGAAAUUCUCUUCACAUAGUACUUUCCAGAAUUGGAUUCUAAGAUGGUUUUGUUGCUCUCGCAAGAAAGUUCUAACUCCGGAUGACCGCAUCCAGCUGGAUCGCCCUUGAGGUGAAGAGGGUAGCUUAUGUUUUUGCCAUCUCCACAAGAAGAAGAACACUUUUCUACUUCAAGUUUUCUUGCUUCAAUUUCACUGGUGCUGAAUACAAACAUCAACAGACAAAACAGAAAAGUUGAGAAAAUUGAAGCUUCUUCACUACUCAUUGCUCCUCCAAUUGCAGGACACAAAUAACGAAUUUGAAUCAACUAAGCAGAACGGUGUAUAAGUGUUAAUGUACUAUGUUUUCUACAGUUUCACUUGCACGGUGAGAGGCGGGCUUUAAACUUAUCAUAGUUUAGUAUACAACUAUGUGAUUGAAUUAAUUAGCAAUAAAUAAUUUGUUUAAAAAUAAUAUUAAUUAUUCAUAAAAUGAAAUCGACACGAGGGAAGAAAAUUUUUAAUUACUGAGUGCGAGGCUUCAAGCAUUAAUGCAAUGGAAGAUAAAGGGACAAAUCUAGAUAAACAUGUUCAAUUUCGUUUCUUACUGUAAAUUUUGUAUGCGGAUGCCACGGAGCUUCUGAAGUCUCUUUCCACGAUUUGUUUAGGUGGAAGCUUUCAGAUUUCAAUGGGGAAGUCAAUACGGCAAAGUGAAGUCGCUUAAUUUCCUGGUAAUUGUAAAUGAGUUAGCAUCGGUGGGAAUGGGUUGAUCCAUCCAUCCCCAUCCUAGCUUGACCUCAAAUUUCUUAGUAAACGUUCUUCAAUGCAGUCCAAUUCCAGUCAAUAUCUUUCGCUUACUUUAUUAUUAUUAUUUUUUAAUAGGGUUUGGAGAAACGCGGCAUUGGAAAUUUGGAACAAUGAGGACUUCUCAUGUCAUGUUCACGUGUUUCUAAAAAUUAUGGUUGUUGUUGUAAUAAUAAUAAUAAUAACUGCUNNNNNNNNNNNNNNNNNNNNNNNNNNNNNNNNNNNNNNNNNNNNNNNNNNNNNNNNNNNNNNNNNNNNNNNNNNNNNNNNNNNNNNNNNNNNNNNNNNNNNNNNNNNNNNNNNNNNNNNNNNNNNNNNNNNNNNNNNNNNNNNNNNNNNNNNNNNNNNNNNNNNNNNNNNNNNNNNNNNNNNNNNNNNNNNNNNNNNNNNNNNNNNNNNNNNNNNNNNNNNNNNNNNNNNNNNNNNNNNNNNNNNNNNNNNNNNNNNNNNNNNNNNNNNNNNNNNNNNNNNNNNNNNNNNNNNNNNNNNNNNNNNNNNNNNNNNNNNNNNNNNNNNNNNNNNNNNNNNNNNNNNNNNNNNNNNNNNNNNNNNNNNNNNNNNNNNNNNNNNNNNNNNNNNNNNNNNNNNNNNNNNNNNNNNNNNNNNNNNNNNNNNNNNNNNNNNNNNNNNNNNNNNNNNNNNNNNNNNNNNNNNNNNAAAAGAAUUUAAAUACUUUAUAAUAUGGUGAUGAUUUUAUUUUAAGUCUCUAAUUUUUAACUUACUGAAAUCAUGUAUUUAUACCUAAUAUAAAAUAGAUAAAUGGGGAAUGGGGUGGGAAUGGGGAAAGCAUUCCCCACAUGGGGAUUCCCCAUCCCCACCCCACUAAAUUUAUUGGGGAAUGGGGUGGGAAAUGGAGGCAAAAAUUUCUAACGGGGUGGGGAAUGGGGUAGGCCUCCCCACCCCCACCCCACCCCAUUGCCAUCCCUAUGUGUGACGGCACUAAUAUGCCAUUAGUGUUUUUAUUACUUUUUUUCAAUUAAUUAAUAUACAGUAUAUUAGUAAAUUCACGUGUUAAAAUAUGUAGAAAUCCACGCAUAACAAUAUAUAUAUGUGUGUGUGCGCUUGUGUCUACAUAUACACACACACUUUUGACAAAAUCAGUUACGUCAAAAAAUGCCAUGAGGAUAUUAGUCUAUCCUUGCGCAUUGGGGACUAAUUGAGCUUUUUAAUGAUUUAAAUUUCAAAUGCUCAAUAUGAGUUGGGCUUCGUAUUGAGACCACCAAAGUUCAACAAAAAAAACAUAAAUCAUUAAUUACACUGUGAUUAUGGAAACAAGUAAAUAUAUAAUAAAAUAAUAUUAAAAAAUUAACAGUCGAAUACGUAGUUUGAUCAUGGGAUAUAAUAGCAUAUAAUAGAUUAUUAGAAUAACAAAAGAGAUUAAAUUAAUAAUUUUUUUAAUCAUAUACGACGUUCAUUAAUCUCAAGUGGAUUAGAGUACAAAUGGUAUAGUUUAUGACAAAAAUUUAGAUCAAUUUAUAUGUUAUUCAUCACACACAUGAUAUAGAUGGAAAAAGUUAGACCAACGGUAUAAUACUAGUUAGGCGCAGAAGGAAAGAAAAUCAAUGUGUCCUGAUAUUUCCACUUUACUAACAUACAACAAAUUCGAGCUAAGGAUAUCUUGAAUCUUAUGCUUGGUGCAACAUUUUGAUGUGUCUUCAUAAGCUAAUUUUUCAUGUGGUUUUUAGAACUCUCCAUUUCCGAUUCAAGAUUGGUUCUAUGAGUAGCCCUCUUUGCCGUCAAGAGUCAAAGUGUCACUAUGAUAUUUUAUGAAGGCAAAUCACUUCUGCAUAGAUUUCCUCUCCAUCAAAUGUUUUCGCAUUAAUUUUGUGACAUUGUAACGAGUUCUGUUGUGUUUCAUGUGGUAUGUAGUUCUGCCGUAAAUGGCUUUAAUGAAACAAUCGCUCAUUUCAAAUGUCGCAGCUGCAUUAGUAUAAUGUAUAUAUUGAUGUAAAAUAUUGAUCAAAUGUCGAAUUCAAAUCCAUAAAAUAAAAAUAUUGAUCAAAUGAUUAACUUGGUAGCCGAUAUGGGAAUAGUAGUCUCAUUGAAAAUGUGCUAAAAAAACAAUAUAAUAAUGUAUCUAUUGCGAAAGGCGAACAAGAAAAAGAGGGAAAGUAAUGUAGACUUGAUUUCUCGCCAGCCUAAAAGGGGGAAGCACUUCAUAAAUUAAUGCUUUUAAGCCUGCAACCAUUUAAUUGGCAUCAUGCAUUCAAAGUCCUUGCUACUGUAAACAAUUUAUCAAGUACUUUAAUUUCGUGCCGCUAUGGAUAUGCACGCUUCCAUGGCCAUUCAGCAGCUAUUUAAUAUUGUGGAGACAAAAGCGUAUCGAUUGGUGAUUUUUUUCCUUCAUUAAUAUUUGGUGCAUGUGUUUGUUUUGAUUCAAGUGGAGGGCGCUAAUUUUCUGAACUUUUGUUGACAGAAGAUAGAGAACACAUAAAUUAAAAUGCCAUUAAUCAAACGCAUUUUAAAUCUUUGUGCUCUCUAUAUUCUGUCAUCAACGUGCAGAUUCAUUUGGCCCUCAAAACUGUAGUGAUCUACUGAUCUUCUUCCAGGUGCUACUUGUUGAUUUUCGUUUGAUUAUUAUUUUAUUUGUUCACACACACACAGAGACACACACAUACAUACAUAUACAUAUACACUCAUAAUAUAAUUAUAAGUUAUGUAUACACAACUAAACCCAUCAUAUAUAUAUCCUCCAUGCAUGCAUAUCUAUAUUGUGAAAUGAGGCAAAUGGCGGCAUAUUGGCAUAUAGAAUGAAACACCGUUUGAGGAGUUGAGAGAGAUUCAGAAUUUGGACUGCUCAUGUGACUUGCUUCAGGGUGGACGCUUUGGGCUUUUCAUAGGAGUAGAAUUAAAAGCCCACUAAUGACUUGGGCUAUUCAUUGAGGCAGCCACAGUCCAUAAAGAAGCACAAAGCCAUGAGCUGUUUCAAUUGUUUUGUUCUUUUUUUUACCUUCUAGUCUGAUUCACUUUCAAAGAAGCAGAAAGCCACCGGACGGCCGUUAUAUAUAUAUAUAUAUGAUAUAAAUAUUUUAAUUUUCAAGAUAAAAGAUAUAUUUGUCUAAAAAAAAUUAAAAUUUCUUUUCUUAUCAAAUUUUAUAUCAAACCAAACAAUAAAAUUUAAUUGCACUAUUUUUCUCUACUCCUUUAUUCUUCCUUCCUCUCCAUUCCACUAUUUUCAUCUUUUCCCUUUCCUUCAAACCAAAACAUAACCUAAAAGUUUGGCCUUUACUUUCCUUGGAAAAGAUAUUCCUCUCGAGUGAUCCAUUAGGCAUAAACUCAUAAACUCAUAGAUAAGUGCACGUUUGGAUCCCUCAGAAUAAAACCCGAAUAAUUGGACUACAUUAACGUGGUGAAUUUUACCAAUUGUUGAAACUUCAUUGAUGAAUUGCUCCGCACUGAACUUGGAGUUCUCCAGCAACUUAAUAGCAAUCAAGCGACCAGUAUGAAGUUGUCCUUUAUAAACGGAACCAAAGCCACCUUGGCCUAAUUUAUAAGUGAAGUGGUUUGUCAUGGCAAUCAUCUUAGGGUAAGAGUACCUUUUAGGCAUCCACGAUUGCUGGUUGCGUAGAAAUUUCUCAAUACUAUCAACUGUUUUUAGUGUCGUUCUGUAUUUGUGGAUAAGGAACACAAAGUAAAACUGUUGAACCAAUAAUGAACCUAGUAAUUAUAAGAUACACGAAUGCACCGUCUGGAAAUAAGAAAGUUUAAUUCUAAGUAACUAGCUGACUCGAAAUAACAAGAACAUGAAUUCCAGCCAGGAAACCAUACCUACUAAUAACAAUUCGAGGUCGUCCUAAGGUGGCGGGAGUUUGUAGUAAACUGCAACCCGAGGAAAAAAGAUUAGGCUUUACAUACUCAUACUCAAGAGAGAUGAUUCAGAAAAAGUUAUUAAGCACAAGAUUGGAAAAUAAAUAAACAAAUCACAUGAUGCCAUCAAUUUAACACCAAAAAACACAAUCGCAAAGUUUAAAAUGUGUAAGCAUAGUGUCACGGGAUGAGUGUGUUGCGCAACAAACCCGUGCGGCACUUAGACAACCUUUGCCGAAUGUUGCUAAGUAAGCCUUGAACUUCUCAACUAGCUUAGCUUAGCUUAGAGGCUUUCGAAAAGCUAAAGAGAAGAGAGCAAUGGAGCCGAAUAAGAGAAAUUAUAUUGCUUACAAGAGAGAUUACAAGAGAGCUUACAAGUGUUUGAGUUGUUUGAUCUAAGCUUGUUGCUCAAAUGUCAAAUGUCAUGCCUAUUUAUAGGGGAGGCUUGCCAAGCUCUAGAGAUUCUAGAGAAUUCUACCAACUAUCUAGAUAAUUGCAUGUGCUGGAAAUGUGUGGAGUAUUCUAGAUAUUUACAAGCUUAAAUGUGCUAGAGUUGCCUAGAAUUUUCUGGAAUCGGGCCAAGCUAGCACUCUUGGCCUUGUCUUGGGUUCUCUAGCUCGAAAUUGUGGGCAAUUGGGCUAGUAACUUGGGCAGUCCGCAACAUCCUCGCCCACCUAAGCUCACGGCGUCCUCGUCGCGCUUUCGUGCUUGAAAUUCUGGAUGUGUUCAACGAAUUGCCAUAAAUCAUCUUCGCGUUCCCAAGUGGCUUCACUCUCGGGGAGGUUUUUCCACUUCACCAAGUACUCGUUGUAUUGUGGCACGCCUCUUCUCCAAACUAUGCGGUCCGCAAUGAUGUAGUCCACAUCUUUGUCGAACAUGAUGGCAACGGCGGUUGGUGUACGCCUCGAUUCUCCGCGACGUGGGUCUUCCACAUCUCCGUGAUAUGGCUUGAAAAGGCACGUCAAUGCAUCACGCAUCACUCGUGCUAGCGGAAGCUAAACUAUCGGAGAGUGUGCGCUUGUGCCAUGCCCAAUCCGAACGGACUUCCUUCACUUCUGCACGGACAACGCGUAGUUCAUCCCGAACAAAGCUACGAAGUUUUAGCAACUCAUCAUGAAAGGAUCAAAACUCACCUCGGAGAGUGUUUCUUGCUCUUGGAUGAGGGCUUUUGUUGCCACAGUGAACUCGGAGUAUUCUCCCUUGAGACCGUCCACUCUUUCCUCUAAUCCCUCAAGGUUGUCUUGAGCGAUGGACAAGGCAGUUUCGAGAGUGGCUACACGAGGCUCCAACGCAUCCAUGGAUGGGGCCUUGGACUUGCCGCGUUUGCAUUGGGCGCGAUCUCCCUCACGGCCGCGGCUUGGUUCCAGCGGAACGUCUACACCAAUAACGCCCUCUUACACUGGAUUUGGAGGGUUGGCCAUUGCUCGUGAGCUAACUUGCGUAGGUGCAAACCUUAGCUCUGAUACCACUUGUCACGGGAUGAGUGUUUUGCGCAACAAACCCGUGCGGCACUUAGACAACCUUUGCCGAAUGUUGCUAAGUAAGUCUUGUGUUUCUCGACUAGCUAAACCUAGAGGUUUUCAAAGAGUUAGAGGGAAGAGAGCAAUGAAGCCGAAUAAGAGAAAUUGUAUUGCUUUCAAGAGAGAUUACAAGAGAGCUUACAAGUGUUUGAGUUGCUUGCUCUAAGCUUGUUGCUCAAAUGUCAAAUGUCAAAUGUCAUGUACUAGAAAUGUGUUGAGUAUUCUAAAUAUUUACAAGCUUAAAUAUGCUAGAGUUGCCUAGAAUUUUUUGGAAUCGGGCCAAGCUAACACUCUUGGCCUUAUCUUGGGCUCUGCAGCCCGAAAUUAUGGGCAAUUGGACUAGUAACUUGGGUGGUCCGCAACAAUAGGCUUAUUACGUGUCAAAAGUUCUUGGUAGCAAAUAAAUUUUCCGAAUACUACUUCUGCGAUGUGGCAUUCAGCAAAGACUGCAAAAGUUCAAAAGAAACAGAGAUUAAGGGUCACACCGGUAAACAUACUCUUUUAGAGAUGAUUCACAAAUUCUUAAAUACGUCAAAGAUUAAAAUUGAAAAUUAUAAAUAAAAGGUCUCCAUUUAUUUGUAUGCACAUAUAAGCAUAAACUUACGGUUUGUAAUUGGGCUAUGAUCGAUGCAAUUAAAAUUUCCCGCUCUAACAGUACUAAUGCAUCCUCUACCGGCUGCAUAACAAUUCCUGCAUCCAACUGACCAUCUAAGAUCGAAUCCUGUCUCCAGUAAUUCUCGGAGGGUUUCAUAAGAAGGAUUUUCCUCAUUCCCAUUAUGUAUAGGAACCAUUGAAACGAACGAGCAUGACUCUGAAAAAUCUGAUACAUAGGAGCCAUGGUAAUUAACAUAAACAUUCGACUGAUUUCCUCCACUCAAACAUGGAACUCUUAUAAAAGCCUGAUCAAUGAGAUCCGUCGAGCAAUUCACGAAAUAGGCGUACAAGUAUUUAUAAUAAUCAAGCGCAUAAACCCGAUCAGUUUAAAAAAAAUAGCCACCAGCGUAACGCAGGCGAAAGAUUUCUGUGGGAAAAGAUGUGUAUGGAAGGCCGCAGCUUACAUUGGCUAAGUUAACAUCGGCAACACUGAUUGUGCUUUCGUCAUAGGAAAUUCUCUUUACAUAGUACUUUGCAGAAUUGAAUAAUUCUAAGAUGGUUUGGUUGCUCUGGCAGGACAGUUCGAACUCAGGAUAACCGCAUCCCGAUGGAUCUCCCUUUAGGCGAAACGGGUAGCUUAUGUUUUUAAUAUCGCCACAAGAAGAAGAACGGGUUUGUUGAAGUACUUCUCUUGCUUCAGUUUCAGUGGGGAAUAGAUAGAUCAAUAGACAAAACAGAAGAGUUGAGAGAAUUGAUGAUUCUUCCCCACUCAUUGUUAAUCCAAUCCCAGGAUACGAUGAAUUUCAAUAAAUUAAACAGAAGUCCGCAUUUUCAAAGUUUUGGAUACAUAUUUACAUCAUUACUUGACAACGAGCACGUGUAUAUAGUAAAUUUAUUAUAGCAUUCAACUAUCUGAUUCUACUAGCUGAAAAUGAUUUAGCAAUAAUUAAUUGUUCAAAAAUAGUACUAUCUUAUUCUUAAAAAAAUCAUCAACAAAGAUGGGGAAAUUAAAAAGGUUUAAAAGAGCAUAUUAAUUUUAUUUGUUGGGUGCAAGACUCGCAGCAUUCAUGCAAUGGGGGAUUUCGGACACUUUUACAAGUCAGUCAACUCUCAGUAAACGUUUUGAUUGCGAGUUUGCGCUGGUGAUGAUGACUGUAGCUUGACCUGAAAUUUCUUAGUAAACCUUCAAAUUGAGACAAAAAUUCUGUAACAAUUUCCAUGCAUGCAACAAUCCAGUCAACAUCUUUCGGUUGCUACUUUAAUUUCUCACCACAAACUCGCAGACAAUAAUUCAUUUUUUUAUGGGAACACAGAACAUGCUUUGAUUUAUAAAAUAUAUGGUAAUUUUACUUAUUACAUUUGUUUUUGUUUUAAUGUUAUAUUAGUAGUUAUUAUAAAGUAUGAAGUACAUUUGGUUGUUCAAAUAAAGGGUACAAUAAUAUAAAGAGUGCGUGUGUAAAUUGUAAUCAUUUAUUAAACUUAUUAGGGUCUGUGUUAUCAAUAGCAAACUUAAUCAUUUAAAUUUGAGUCUAAAAGGGGAAUCUGAUAUGGUAUGUUUCAUUUUGUUGGUUGACAACAUUCAUAAAUAUUUGUAUCAUUGUUUCCUUCUGAAGUUUUGGCCUCUGUGUAAGGAAGAGAAGGAAGAAGAUUGUUGAACUCAGAAAAAGUGACAUGGAUUAACAGAGAAAGAGAGAUGUUUUUUAGUGUAAUAUUAAAGAUAGCCAUUCAUUUUUGUAUGGCUUAAAAGCAUUUUACUUAAGUCAAUGGCAACCCCACAAGAGAGUAGUCCUCCAUGACACUUGCAGAAAACAAUAAUAAAGAAUAAGCUCAAUGAAGCCAUUGACCUGAUUUUUUGUGAUUACUUUUCAAUGUGGGGGGUAAAAUAACGAAGAAAAUUUCCACCUCAAGAGUUUUAAGUUAAGCUUAGCACACCUCUAGUUAAAUUCUUUUGCCACCCAUAUGGAUAGAUUCAAAUCUCAAACUUGUUGUAUCAACUCAAAAGAUUUCAACAACUAAAUUACCUAUCACUCGUGAAAAGUGUGUGCAUUAGGCUCCAAUUCGAGAUAAAGCAAUGAGAAGAAGAAGAAUAUUUGUCAUUAAUUGCUCGUUAUUCAUUUAUUUAUUUUACAUUCAUCAUUGGCAAAAUUAAACCUAAAUAUCACUGAGAGAUCAUUCCUUCACUGAUUCAGACAUUAACAACUCUGUUGAAGAAUCUGAUUCAAUCUCUCUUCCGGAUAUAUGUCGAGAAGAAAAUGAGAAAGGUUUUGGAGGCAUUUGCAAAUCGUCAAUAUUCCCUUCUAAAAUUUCCAAAACUUUUGUCACAGAGGAGCGACAGCGCCUUAGUCAUAGCUCAGGUAAUAUUUUAACCUAUAUAUUGUUCCUCCUGUGGCUCUGAUGGGAGCAAAAUCAUUUUCCUUGGGAUGAAAUUUUGCAAGGGCCGAAAUCUGAGCCGUUGGGGAAGGAAUUAGGAUCUAGCAGGAUGUUGUGAGACUUAAAUGUUGAAAUGAAGAUUGCACACAUCACAUCCGUUCUGUAAAUACUCGAUCCCGCGAGCCUUUUCUAAAGCAACCUAGCUCAUGGAGUUUCUGCCAACUACCCUCCUUGGGAACUAUAAGCCUAUCAAUAAAGGAAUGCUCUUUCAGCGAUAGUUAUGCUUAAUUUUUUUUUCAAUGAUGUGUUUAAAAAUAGACUAAAGUUUUCGUAUGCUUUAUGCACCCUGUGCUUGCAUGGGAAGGUAUCAUAGGUGCAGAGGUUUCCUCGCUAUCAAAUGUUUUUAUAUUAAUUUUGUGCCACUGUAAUGAUCAGAAUCACAUGCAUUGCAUUUUGAAUUUGCCAUUUAUAAUAAUAAUAAAAAUUUCCACUUCUCCAUGGUUUGGUCGCUCGGAUUUCGAUCAAUUACCUAUUUCAAAAAAAAAAGUCGAUGGAAAAUCUUUAUUUUUAAUCUUGUCAUGGAUAAAACAGUAUUUGUUCGGUAUAAAUUAAUUAAAGCAAAUCUAAUAUGUAAUAGUGUGAAAAGCAUAAAAGAAAUAAUAAGUUAUAUGGUUGGAGGCUCUAAUGAUGUUACCUCUAAGAAACAGUCAGUGUCUCAAUUUUAUUAAAUUUUUAUUAAUUAUAUGUACAUCCUCAGACUAUCAAAGAUACUGUAUUUUAGACCCAUGUAAUAAAAAAAAAUAAUAAGGAUAUUUUCGUAAUUUUGAAAAAACAAAGACCCAAUGAGAAUUCAACUAUUUUUUUAUAAUAAACAUUUUAUUUAAAAACUUGUUCUCAUCUUCGUUGCCCUUUUGGCGUGUAACACCAAUUGUCUUUAAUAUUUUCAAAGUACAAAUGGAGCACAUUUAAGUCGUUGUUUGUAAAUCAUUACGCAACCAGCAGCUUCUAGCUCCCCCAUUGCAAGAUAAAUUGAAGCAAGACCUUAAGGUUCUAUUUGGCAUUGAGCUAUUGAAACGACUCGUCCGAAUCUCCCUCCCAAGUGAGUUUAUCUAGUCUUAUCAAAACGGACUUGAUAAAAAUUUUAUGAGUAAAGAUUCUGCCGAAAAUUCAGCGGAAUCUCCUUUAUAUAUAUAACACUCCCAAUAUAUAAAUAUGAAUAUACCACUCCCAAUACAAUUUAAUAUACAACAAACUCCAGUGAUCAACAUCCUCAACCAAAAUGCUGAGUUUUAUAUCUCCAGAAUUACAAAAGAUAAUAUUAUAAUCCCAAAAGAAUAAUAUAACAAAAGUUUACAAUCACAAAAGAACAAGAUGACCAAAAUAUCCUAACAGAAGCAUCUAUAUCUUGGUCAACGGUCAACGGUCACCGGAAUUUGGUCAACGCUGGCUAGGAAGCUCAAAUCUGAAAGUUCCAAUCACGCUGAGUUCAAUGGUACUGGCGGUGAGCUCCAACACGCGGCAACGGCGCCGGAAUCGAGCUCGGCAGCCGUGAAUUCCAACAAUCGACCGACGGCAAAACAGUGACUCUCGGUGCCUAUGGAUGGUCGAAAAUGGAAGAGGGAGUCGUGGGGAACAAGAUCCAACCGGUGGUGUCACCCAAAACCAGCGAAAAUCCCGGCGGAGCAAAGUGCAACAGUCGCGGGUUUCAAGCUUCGAUCGUCGGUGUUCCGGUUGGUUUUCGGUGACGAGGAUGGCAAGGGAACGACGGUCGGCUUCUAAGCUUCAGAUUGGUACCAAGCUCGGCCGAAAUGGCAGCCGGAAAUGGGAGAUAUGGUCGGGUCAAGGUCGUGGGUUCCAGGUCGGGUUUUCGGGUCUGUAGUUGGGUCGGUUUGGCAGCCUCUCUCUCACUCUCUGUUACACGUGCAUAUGUUGCUCUGUUUUCCAGCUUCUUCUUUUGUUAACUUCUUAACCGCCUCUUUUAUUCAUUUUAAAAUUCACAUAUGUUAUAGUAAAAUUCAACCCAAAGACUUUAUUUAAAAUCUUUACAACAAAUACAAAUCUAUUAUUAAAAUAAAUAUAAUAAUUUAAAUUUUUUGUAUUAUUUUACAUAUAAAAAAUAAUUUAAUAUUAUUAGUCUACUAGAUAGAUUAUAUUAUUUAUAUUAAAUUUUAAUUAAAUAAAAAACUUCAAAGUCAAUUUCCUAAUUAAUAAAUUCAAAGGGUAUUAUGAUUAAAAAUGGGUCUUGAUGUCUCAUUUUAAAAACUUGAGAGUUUUUGUAAUUAUUUUCUCACACCUUAAGGGUAUAAUUAUCUUUUUUCCUCAAUAAUAUUAUAAAUUGAAAAAAUUCAUCCAUAGUUGUAUUAAUGUUGUAUCACUCGAACACAUCAAAGAUUUUAAGCGAUAAAUAAAACAACCAGAGUCAAACAAAAACUCAAUUUAGUGGUUUUCAAGCGUUCCAAUAACAAGAAGGACUAAAUAAUUUAGCUUAUAAUCGGGGAAAAUUUGAAAUAAAUUAACAAUAUCCCUUUUUAAUUGUAAUCUUCUGCUAUCUAGAUCAAUUGAUUGCACCUGCCUCAACAUCAGCAGAGACAAAGGGCAUUGGAGGGAUCUCCAAGCUUUGUAAAUCAGCUUCAAGCAUUUGUAACACAAUUGGCAUGGAAGGUCUCUCCGUGGGAUUCCAUUGAAUGCACCAAAUUGCCACAAUUGCAAGCUUUCUCGCAAUUCCCUCAUCCCCAUCUUCCUCAAAAUCCAAACAGAGCUCUUGUCCUAGCCUCAUUCUAUUGUAAAUCCACUCUGGAAAAUAUAUUUGGCUCUGAAUUUCAACCGCAGGAUCAUUAUUUUUUCUGCAUCCGACCAUCUCUAACAGCAUCAUUCCGUAACUGUAAACAUCAGACUUGUAAGAGAUCUCACCAAAAUUCCUGGAGAAAAGUUCAGGUGCAAUGUAGCCAGAAGUGCCUCUGGCAGCUGUCAGAGAUACAAUGCUUAUGUCCUUUGAGCACAACUUAGCCAGUCCAAAAUCUGAAAUCUUCGGUUGAAAAUUAUGGUCUAAUAAUAUAUUGUGAGGCUUGAUAUCGAAGUGCAGGAUCCUCUGGUUGCAUCCUUGGUGCAAGUACUCCACUCCACGGGCAACGCCAAAUGCAAUCUUCCUCAGCUUCUCCCAACUCAAUUGACGGUGACUUGAGCUAUUUGUCUUUGAGAAGAUGAAUUUCUCAAGUGAUCCAUUGGGCAUAAACUCGUAAAUAAGAGCGCGACGAUUCCCUUCAGAGCAAAAUCCCAGAAGCCGAACAAUGUGAAAGUGGUGAAUCCUGCCAAUUGUGGCCACUUCAUUGAUGAACUCUUGUCCAUUUCCUUUUAAAUGUUCCAACAUCUUGACAGCAACUGGAAUUCCGUUGAAGAGUUUUCCUCUGAACACACUUCCAUAACCUCCCUGGCCGAGCCUGUGCUUAAAUCUGCUUGUUAUUUUCUUCAGUUCUUUGUAAGUAUAUCUGGUAGGAUUGACGGUCCUGUAGUUUUCUAGGAACUUCUCCACCUUCAGUUGAGUCUCUUUUUCUUUUUCAGAUUCUCUUGAUCUGUAAAUAAGAAAUAUCACUAACGCAAAGAGGGUGAUGCCUCCAAUGCUUGUGCCUGUGGAUAUUAGACUUAUAGAUGAAGGGCCAGGACCAUCUGUUACAAUAAAAUGAGAUGCUAAAAGUUAGUUAAAAAAUCAACUCAAACAAUAAAAUGAGAUGCUAAAAGUUUGGACCCGUGCAAGCUUUACUUGGUAGCAUAAAGACUCAAUAUUAUUUUAUUGGGCUUUAACAAGUCCCUCUCAUGUGACCAUCUCAUAUAGGUAUUUGUCCAUAACUUAAAUGAGAAUUAUAUAUCUUAUUCACAUGGGUGGAUAGAUAAUUAGGUUGUCAUUUAACUAAAUAAUGAAAAAAAUACUAAUAAGCAGAAGAUGAAAUUAUUUGAACUGCAAAGUAAGCACUCUUUUACCUUGCACACUUCAAUUUUAAAAUUUUAACUUUUACUCAAGUACACAAUGAAAACACCAAAAUGAUCGCAAUUAGAAAUCCCUGUCAUUAUGCAUUUUUUUUGCCUUUCCGCAUUCACAAAAUGAUUUUUUUUUCCCCUCAUCUCUUAUUCCAUGUGAAUAUUGAGGGUCACUUGAUUAAACAAAAAUUUUUUCUCAACAAAUUUGCCAUCAUGAACGUAUAUUGGCUCUUACAUAAAAAGUUGACAAAGACAAUCAUAGAGAAAAAGUAUUAGUAUAAUAAUUCUUCUUAAUUUGUAUUCAUUGAGGACGCAAGAAAAUAUAAUAGAUUAAACUUUUAUCAGGCAUUGUGAGUUUAAUCAAUCUCUCACCAUUAACGAAAAUUAAUUGUAAUAUAAAGAUUCAAGAUUAAGGUAGUAUUUACUUGCUGGAGUGGGAGUGUGGAGUGUGGAUUCCUCCCACUCCAGUGUUUAUUUACCUUAAAAAAGGGGGAGUGGGAGUGGGAAUCCGUGGGUCCCACUCAAUUUUGGAGUGAAGAGUGGGAUUCACACUCCCAUGGGGGGAGGUGGGAGUGGGAAUCCACUCCCCCCUCUUCNNNNNNNNNNNNNNNNNNNNNNNNNNNNNNNNNNNNNNNNNNNNNNNNNNNNNNNNNNNNNNCCGAAUAUAUAAGUUCACUUUUAAAAAAAAUAACUGCUGUACGGCCAAGGCGGAUGUACGGUACAGCAGAAAUGAAUUUUAAAUCUUUAACUACCUCAAUGAGCCAAAUUUUAUUAUCCACUAAUCACUUUUAAUCUAUUUAUCAAAAGUAAUCAAUCCUUCUCAAACUUUCUUUCUUUUUUUUUAAUUUACUCCUAAGUCACAAAUAUAUCAUAAUAUGAGGAAGCAGUGUUUAUACAACAGAACCCAAUUAUUAUAAACACCCAAAAAAAAAAAAAGGACAGUGAGAGAUAGAAAACAAAAAAAGAUGGAAAAUUUACAGCAAUAAAAGAACCCCAAAGAGCCCCAAAAAAAUUCUCUAAAAAAUAUUAAAAAAACUGCUGUACGGCCAAGGCGGAUGUACGGUACAGCAGAAUUACAAAUUAUAAUUCUGUACAUAAGGAUAAAAUUAUAAUUUAAAAUAAUUUACUCCCAAUCCAAGAUAAAGUAAACAAAUAAUUGGAAUUCUGAUUGAUAAUCCAUACUUUCAUUUAGUCUAACUAAACACCAUACUCCCACUCCCACUCCACACUCCUAAUCUAAAGAUUCUCACUCCAAUCCAAAAAGUAAACGCAACAUAAAUUGACGAGAUAGAGAAAAUUAGUACUAUCUAUUUGGUCCUGAGUAGUAUCAGUUUUUCUUCAAGCAGUCAAAUCAGCCAGGCUAGCAACAUUUUAUCGAGCACUCUACAACCGGCAAUAAUACUGGAAAGCAGCCUUUAUAGCAAUGAUAUUCGCCAUACAGAUUAGGGGUGGGUAAAAUUGUAAUUGCAGCCAAAAAAACAAAUCGUCAGUUUUUUUUGUUUUGUAAAAAAAAAUCCAUCGAUAAAUUUUUUGGUGAUUUCACUUCACAAGCCCAGUGCCCACCCCUAUUAAUAUAGAUGGCUUCUUUAAUUUUUAACUUUUAGCAAUUGUAAUUACACUUUUACAAUUGAAAAAAUAAUGCAAAGCCUAAUUAUUAUUAUUUUUUCUUUUCAUUUACACUGCUCUGAUAAAUUUUCCGGCAUAUAUAACAAUGAUAAUAAAUUCAACUUAUUUUUUUUAUUGUUAGCUAAAUAGAGACGAUGCUUUCACUUUCAAGCACUGUAGAGAGAGGUGACUGAGAAAAGAUAUGGUUACUUACGUUUUUGGUGUUUAACGGCAACGCAGAUUGUCGAAUUGCUUGUAGUGUUGAACCCACAAUAAUUCCCUGAAUUUUCGCAGUCGUAGCAUCCAUCAAGAGCUUCCCAUCCUAAGACUACUGGUCUUGCCCUCGCCGUCGUUGCAAUAUCCUGCAGAGGUAAUCCACCAGGAAUCUCAACUGUUCCAGAUUUUCUGCAAGAUGGAGGCAUAUCCUCCACUGAAGAUUCGCUAUCUAUGGUAUAGACAAGAUUGUUUUCAUUGCUAAGAAAAUUGAUCAGUCCAAUUAGUCCAUAUGAAGUCCAUCCUGGGGAAACCUUCUCGGUGCAGUUAUAUAAAGCGUAACUUUCAUUAGAGUGAAGAAAAAAGAAUUUGGAGUUUGUGAGGUUGAAAGAGAUAAGACUUUGAAACGGGCAUGCUGUCUCAUUCACAUCUGUAAUGGUAAUACUGCUGUCCAGAUAAGAAAUUUUAUGGACAUAAUAAUCACCGGAGGAAGGAAAAUGCAAGAUUGUCUUGUCACUUAAGCAUGACAAUUCAAACCCUUCAAGGCCACAAUAUGUUGGUUGAGCUUUGAGUCUGAAGGGAUAUCUGAUCCUUGGGCUCUUAUUACUGCAUCUUGUUGGUUGACAGAAUUCAUAUUUAUCUGUCUUGUUGUCUUCCGCAGAAGCUUUGGCUAAUGUACAUGUGUAAAGUAGGAAGAGGAAGAGGAUUAUUAAACUCAUCACGAGGGACAUGGAGGGAGAGGGAGAGCGGAGUUUGAGUUAGAGCAGAGUUUGAGUUAUGCUUUUGGAGUAAUAAGGGAGAGGAGAGUUUGAUUGUCAGUUUGUCAUGGAAAAAGGUAGGAAAAUGGAUUUUUUUUAAUUUCUUCUGUUCUUUCCUUCUUUCUUUUCUCCUUUUUCUAAGUCAAUGGUAGCUCCAAAGAGACUAGUCAACUUCAAUAUCUGCCAAUAUCAGAUGCAUGGAGGAACAUGAUGAGACUUGCUGUUUGUGAUAUAGAUUUUAGUGAGAGUUGUGAAAGUAAUUUGUAGGUAAAGAAAUGAGAAAAUUAUGUUUUUAAGAUCAGUAAGUAAUGUUCUUUAGAAAACGGGUAAUUCCGAGCAGCUACCAUCCGCUUACCAUGAUAUAUCAGUGGGAGACUAAGGGUGUGUUUAGGAUUGAUGGGAACUAUGUGUCUUUGAAUUCAUCACUGUUGUGAGAUGAAAUUAUUAUCUAUUAAGUAAAAGUGGAUGUGUGGUGAUAGCUAGGUGUCUACGAUAUACUUUGGUAAUUGUACUUUAAAUUAAGUUCAGCAAGACCAGAGAGUUCAAAGCAUACUCUAGCUCAAUCAGAGAUGCAGCAAGCAGCGUUUCAAUAGUUUGACAAAUGUACAUUAUCACAUGACAAACGUACAUCAUAUUCUAGUCGAUAUGAGCAAAAUUGAAAUAUUCACAUCGAACAAUGAAUCGUACUGAAAAUUUUCAACAUAAUAUUAUAGAAGCUUUGGUAGCAUAAGGACAAUUUAUUUCUUUUUUACAUAUAUCAUUGCCAAAACUAAGCAUAACUAUCAUUGAAAGAACAUUCCUCAAUCGAUUCAGGCACUAACAACUCUGUUGAAGAAUCUGAUUCAAUCUCUCUUCCGGAGAUAUGUCGAGAAGAAGAGAAGAAAGGUUUCGGAGGCAUUUGCAAAUCGUCGAUACUCCCUUCUAACAUUUCCAAAACUUUUGUCAUGGAGGGGCGAUCAGCUGGCUUCACCUGAAUACACCAUAAACCAAUCACACACAGUUUCCUUGCAAUCAUGGACUCGAUUUCAGUCACAUUCCGAAGCUCUAAAUUACCUCCCUUAUUUAAUUGGUCAGAUACCCAAGAUGGGAAAUAUGCUUUGCUUGAACGAGUUGCUUUCAAAUUAGAAUUCCUUCUUCCUCCAGUCAUUUCCAACAACACCAUCCCAAAACCGUAAACAUCUGACUUGCAAGAAACAGUUCCAAAAUUCCUUGAAAUCAGCUCAGGGGCUAUGUAUCCUAUGGUUCCUCUUGUGGCACUGAUGGACACAAAAUCAUUUUCCUUUGGAUGAAACUUUGCAAGGCCGAAAUCUGAGACGUUUGGGACAAAAUUAUGAUCUAGCAGGAUGUUGUGAGGCUUAAUGUCGAGAUGAAGAAUGCAGACAUCACAUCCGUUGUGUAAAUACUCGAUCCCAUGGGCAGUUCCUGAAGCAACUUCGUGGAGUUUCUCCCAACUACAAGAUUGGCCUCUACUUUCCUUAGGAAAGAUAUGCCUAUCGAG
This 45215-nucleotide long non-coding RNA is filed under the name Citrus sinensis (sweet orange). RNAcentral's name for it is "long non-coding RNA (CSIN_LNC000666)". The record is from RNAcentral. Lineage: Eukaryota; Viridiplantae; Streptophyta; Magnoliopsida; Sapindales; Rutaceae.